UACGGGGGACUAAUGUUUGUGACUCAAUUUUUCCUUUAAUAGAGGGAAUACGAGCGUGCUAAGGCUAGAAAGCCAAACUCGUCCAUAUCCCAUAUUCAAGGGGUUAUCCCUAAUCUAAUCAAACAAACGUACUAUCCUAAUUCUAAUUCUUAAAUGAAAUGCAAAUCUAAUGUUAUAUAUCACACAUAGGGGUAAGGAAUAUACAUAUAAGGGGAGCACGGGGUAAGGGAUAUAUAUAUACAAGGGAAAUGUCAUGCAAAAAUGAUAAAAACCCUAAAAGUAGAAAAACAUGCAUGAGAUGAAGUGAUUUUAUCACACAAUCAUGAUCUAACGUGUGACGCCCCGAAAAGUAUGAGUGUGAGAACCCGAAAAUUUUCUAAUUUUCUAGGGUUUAUUUUUUUUUAAAUCGCCCGCCUUUUCUACAUUUUCUUUAUUAGAAAAAUUCUCCAGAUAAAGUUUAUGAGCAAAUAUAGUUUUUAGAUGAUUUUUCUAGUAUCGGUUAGUUUUUGAGAAAUUAAAAGCGUAUUUUGGACGUGGGACCCGCAAGUGCGGUAAAUGCAUUAUAUUUUUGACAAUUUGUUGGAAUUUUGUAUUAAGUGAUAUUAUUUUACAAUGUGUUAAGAUAUUUGUAUUGGAGAGACAAAAAGAUAAGAAUAAAACCCUAAAGGACCAUUUGUCACAAAACCAUUGGACCUUGACUUUUGACCAAGACUUUUCUAACUUUACUAAAACCAAUUUGGACCCAAUUUCUCUCUAUUUUAGCUUGUCUUGGACGAAAUUUUGAGAGAAAAAGAGAGAGAAAAUCCAUUAUCUUGUCCAAAUCUUGAGUUCCAACUGAUUAAAUUGCAAAUCACUCCAUAAAACUUGCUAGCUAAGGAAGAUUGAAGCUCUUGGUGGAGUUGUUUUGGAAGAAAAAUCCCUAAGUCAUCACCUUUCUUGAUAUUUGAAGGUAUCAUGUCUAGCCAUCCCUUCUUUGUUCUUGAUUAUGCUAAAUUAGAGACUUGUGAUGGCUAAAGAGAUGGUUUUAUGGAUUAUUUCUUGAGUUUUGGUUGAAUUGAUGAAGUUUUAUUAUUUUUGGGAAUUUUCUGUUUUCAUAUGGAUAUGAUUAUGGGGUCAUGUAUGAUGAUUGGAAAUGAUGUUUAAGGACUCUAUGAGGUGGAAAAAGUGAUUAAUUGCAACCAAUUUCUGUUUUGGACCAAAAAUUGAAAAGUGAGGGUUUUGUGAUGAACAUUCUGUCCGAAUUUUUAGGUCCUAGAUAGAGGUCGAAUUGGCCUUUUCUUAAAACAUGAAAGUUGUAGGGAAGGACAUUUUAGAGGUGCCUACAAAAUUUCAGGUCAAUCGGAGUAGCGUAGAGUGAGAAAAGUCAAAAUUACUAUUGCUGUUCUGGUUUACCCGAAAUUGGGAUUUGCGACUGUAAUUGGUUGUUUUGGCUGGAUUUGCUUCCGAAUUCGUUGUUGAGGCCUUCUGAUGAAAUUUAUCCCUGUUUCUUACCUUUCAGAUGGUUUUGGAAUUUCUGGAUUUGGACUUCGGUAGCCUGAUCUAUGAUGUUUCCGCUAGAAUGCGUUCUGUGAAUCUAUUUUUGUGAUUCUGGUAUGGUAUCUUGCAUAUUUGACCUGGUUAUACUCGAAACUGGGUUGAGUGACCUUCUGCAAUAUUGUAACCCUAUCUCUUAGCUUCGAAACGGUGGGUCUUGCACCUUCAUCCGAUAAUCGUAGCGCCUUUGGUACCAUUACCGCAAAAUGACGUCAAAACUAUUUUUCUGGUUUUGAGCUUAACUUUCAUUUCCGGACUUUUCCCUAGCUUGACUUGUACUAGUACUACUUGGAGCUUGCUGAAUGGCUAUUGGAUGAACUUGUUGUUGUGUGUGUACCUUUGGGUUGAAAUGAGGAAAUAAUGAAGCCAUGAUGGCUGGAAAAGUUAGCAAAUUCAGGGGAAGUGCUGUCCGAACUUUGAAGGGAUUUGUUUGCAUUGAGUUUGUGAUCUAAGACUUGGAUUUGAGCAAGGCAAUGUUAUAUGCUGGAUGAUUUCUGAGCCGUGGAGGUGAGUGACCCUAAACUAUUUCCAAAGUACUUGUGAAAUAUUUCUUACAUUAUUUAUUCGAUUGCAUAUCAUGCGUGCUUGCAUGUGAAUUCAUGACAUGAUUUGGCUUCAAUGAGUUCUGGGAAAGUCUUGUGCUGGACACCAACGUCUCCACCUUGUUUAUGGUACAUGUUCAUGUUUAUCUGGAGCUCAAAAAGGGGCUCCCUCUCUGUUAAUGUUAAAUGAUCUAUUUGAGCGUUGGAUGUUCAAGUGCUAUGAUUUCCCUGGCUCACGAGAGCACUAAACGAACAUUUGAUCUCUGAAUCAUGACAUCAUCGAAAUGAUCGAAAUGCAACAUUGUGAAAUAUAUUUGUUUAAUGAUUUUACUGGUUACUCGCUGAGCUUCUAGCUCACCCCAAAAAUAUUUUAUUCCCCUCCACAGGGCUCAAGGCGAAGGAAGGGCUUGUUGUGCUUAUUCACGUGUCUGGAUGGCCUAUAUCUUUUACAGUUUGGAUUUGGAAUCAUUUUAUGUAUAGUUUGGGGAAUUGUUUCCGCUUCGCUUAUGACAUGUAAUUUUUGGAGAAUUUGAUGUAUAUUGGAGAUUUAUAUUGUAAUAUUUGAGGUUUAUUCUUAUAUUUGUUUGAGGACUGUAGUGAGCGACUGAGUCCCGGUGAGAGCUGGGCAGGCGGCCCAUCGAACCCUCUGGUUCGCCUUAGGGGGAGGUGGGGCCGUCACAUAAUGCUCGAAGGGCUCCUAAGGGUCUAGCGUUGGACUAGACCACAUCUACAAGUUCUCACCAGCGUUGGACUAGUGGAAAAUCGGAACAAAGAGUCACAACUAGCAUUGAACUAGUGUGGAUUCGAGAAAGGGGGCCACAACUAGCGUUGGACUAGUGUGGUGACGACAUACAUUUGUUACAAUCAAAUAAAUAUUAAAUAAAUCAUGUAAGAUCUAAUAAAAGCAUGUAGACACAUAAUAUCACAUAAACACAUAACACAUAAUCAUGAUAUCAAGAUGCAAGACCCUAAGAAAGCGGUAACACAUAGCACAUAGUCAUGCAAAUCACACAAGUAAGAAAUAAAGCAAAUAAAGACUCUAACUAUUACAUUAGGGAGGCCCUACUACAAUCUAAGGGGGAAGAUGGAAGAUAAAUAAUUAAGCUAAAUACCUAACUAUUACAACUUUGGCAUUUAAAUGCCUUUCAAAUAACCAAAACUAAAUUAAAAAAUAAAUAUACUAAAUUAAAACAAAUAAAGUGACUAAAUAAAUAAAUAAAAUAAAAAUAUUCAAAAAGCAUGCAAUUUCACACAUAAGUUCACAUAGGAGCACAUAGGAUCAAAUAAAGUAAGAAAUAAGGGAUAGGGUGUACCUCCCUUGAGUUGGGGCACUAAUGGAGUGAAAUUACUUAUUUACCCUCCAAAAUAAUAAAAGGGUCAGUGCAUCACUUUAAUCAAUAAAUAUGAAAUUGAAUCAUUAAAAGCAUUUAAAUAACUAAAAAGUCCAUAUUCACAAAAUUAGGAUCCAAUUGAAAGGAAAAGAAAGUUCAAGGGGGGGUCAAUUUGAUUGAUUUUUCACUUGUUUGGGCCAUAGUAGAACAAAAAGGGACUUGGAGGGUUAAGAGGCAAUUUUUGAAAGUUAUUUUUUCAUGCAAGUUCAUGCAACUACGUAGAAGCUUAAGCUUCUGCAACAAACUUGCUGCAUUUUUCCCAACACAAACUUCGGACUUCAGCACACCGCCUUUGAUCAAACUUUUCAGACUCCAAGCUAAACCAUGAAACACAUAACUACCACAAUCCGAACAAGCCAGAAUCUUAUAAGGAAACCAAGCAUUCUUCCCCCCUUUUGGAAUACAAAAUCCAGAAAAAGCAGGAACAUUCAAAUGCUAAAAAAAAAUUCCAGCAACUUGGGUCUAUUCUCCUGGUUCAUGUUUUAUGAUAUAACUUGGGAAAAAGAUUGAAACUACAUGCCAUGUUGACUUCAUGAAUGAAGCGUCAAAACAUGAAUUUAGCUACCCAACUCUAGCCAACGAGACUUUUGAAAAACCAAAAACGUGAAGCAGGAGAGAAUACAAGUCAUGAAAAAGGAAACAUUUUUCGAUAUUUUGCAUAGAAAAAAUUUCAAUGUUUACUCAUUACCUAAGUCCGAACCCAAAAUGCGAAAUCAGUGUUAUACCUUGAGCUAUUGCCUAUGAACCUCAAUUUCUGCAAACCAAAUCUUGCAGCCAAAAGAAAAUUUAAACAAAGUUGAAGUAGCUAAAGCUACAAUACAAUGCCAUUAUUGCGGCCUGGCAUUAUGCCACACAUUUCUGAUUUUAAAUGGCAGCAAGCAUAUAUCAUAACUCACCAUUCAAUCGCAAAAACAGAUCUCAGACAACCAAUUUAGGCCAAAACAACCUCAAAUAGGCUUUUGAGCAAUCAACAAAACUCCACCGAAACACAAGAAAACAGCUACUUGAGCAAAUAAACAAGCAGGAGCAAGGGGAAUGAAGACAGCAUAACAAAAGGCAGCAGGCAUAAAACGCAGCAGGCAACGUGAGGAUUUGCAGCAAUUCUUCAUACCAGUAACCAGGAGAUGAUUCAAUGCAUUUAAAAUGCAAGCACAUGAAACCAGGGAGAGGGGAGACAUCCAAUGAGCUUUCGGACACCGAUUCCCUACUCCUUAUCAUGUAAACAUCAGCUAACAGAUUCCCCUUCCCAUAGGAAACCCAUGAAACCCGUGCUAAUACCACCAAAACUCAGGUAAACACCAUACAUUUCCCACAGCAAGCAUUUUGCCACUAAAUUACAGUCUAGGAGCAGAUUAUAGAAAUAGCACCGAAUAAAACUUGGGCCGUAAACAGGCAUUAACAUUCUUUAGAUGCAAACAAGUAGCAAAAGGACACGGCUUUGGAUGGUAGAAUACAGCAAAAAGGCAAGGAAACAGCGAGAGAGGAACAUCAAAACAGAACCACUCAAAGUUUCAUGCCCUUUUUUCUAGGUCUGCUAGUCAUACGCAUAAAGAUCAGCCAUAAAUACCAAACAAAAACCCCAUUAAAUUCAUCAUAGAACCCCAAACUCCUAUCCCUGAAACCCAGGUCUAACCCCAUGCAUUCUUCAGCCGUAAAACCAGAAAAACGAACAGCAACAAACGAGAAAUUCUGGACCGAAAAUACCUCAGAGAAAAUCUACCGGCGAUGAUGGCGGGCUAAAACGAUGGCAGUUGUGAAGGUUAAUGGCUCCAAUGGCUCCCUUUGCUUCUUUCAGAAACAGCGCCGGACCUCUUUUCCUCCUCGUUCUCACUACCUCUUCUCGGUUGCUCCACUCAGCCGUCACCCCAUACUCUCUUUCUCUCCUUCGCAAACUUUCCUUUCCUCUCUUUUUAUCUGAUUUUUCUUUCUUUCUUACUCUCUGACUCCGCCGCCGCUCUAUUUCUCUUGUUUCAGACUUCCUUCUAGCUCCCCCAAAAAUUUCAGAUCGUUUUCCUCUUCUCGGCUUUUUGUUCUUUUCUUCUCCGCCUCCGCUCACUCUCGAUUUUUCCCCCCUCAAAACCUAGCCACCCCUUAUCUCUCAGCCGUCAUCCUCUCUUCACUCUCUCUCUAUCUCCCAAACUCAGCCGCCUCUCCCUUCUUUUCCUCUAUUUUUCCUUCCUAAAACCCUAGCAUCCGUUCCUUUCUUUUUCUUUUUGAUUUUCUUUUAUUUCCCAAUUGAUCCUAACACUACAAGUGUCUAGACACCUCACCCUCUAGGUAAUGUGUUGUCCAAGACAAAAAGGGACACUUGUCCCAAUGCAUGCCUCCCACUUGCCAUUUUUAUUGUUUUUUUCUUUUUCUUUUUUUCUUUUUCCUUUUCUUUUCCCUAAAAUUUAGUGUAAAAUGCUCUUAAAUCGAUAAAAAUAAAAUGAGAGACACGAAACAUAAACAAAAAUAAAAUAAAAUAAAAUAAAAACCUAAAAUUGAAUCAAAUAAGUCUAAAAAUAAAAAAUUCGGUGUCUACAAUUUGCCCCUCUUUGUCUGAGUUUUGAAAAAAUUUGAGACAAAGAAGUAGACACCAAGUAGUUACCUGGGGUCAUCCGGCUGCAAACUAGUCGAACGACUGGCGCUUUUGAAAUGAGGACUGACCCCUUUAACAAAAAAUUUAAAAUGGGACUGACCCAGACAAGAAAUUUAAAACGCGACUGACUUGAACCAGAAAUUUAAAAUAGGACUUGUAACGCCCCGAGGCAGAAGAAAAGGGAAAAAAUUUCUGGUGAAUAGAGUUUUGUGGGGAAUCCGGCCAGAAGCCGUGCAAAUUCCUUAUAUUUUUCUUAAAAUUCCCUUUUCUUUGACAAAUACCACUUUAUAAUGGCCCUACUACUCAAUCACCCCACAAUAAGUGCCAAUGAACUUGGAAAAUAGGGUUUCACGCUUCGGUUUCAAGUUUGGAGCAAAAUUAGGGUUUUCGCGAUUUUUCGCCGGAUGAAUUUUCGGUACAGAGUAAGGAUUAAUUUUGGAGAUUAAAAGUGACUUUUAAGUGAGAAAUAAUAUGUGACUAGUGGCAAUGAUAUAAGGUUAGUGAAUUGGAAGUAAAAACCCUAGUACGUGAGUUUUUAAGAAAAACGGCGCGAACCGGUGGGUCCCGCGCACUACCGAUUGAACGCAUCGCUGGACCACCAUUUUUCUUACCAAACAAAUUUAUUGAACUUGAGCAAAAUAUCUUCUCUCUUGGCUGCAAGCUUGACCGAAUUUGUGGCUAGGAAAUAACAAGAAAGAAAGAGAAAAAAAGAAAGGUGGUGGUGGCGACAAGUGUCGCCACCUUAAGGCUUCUUGACCCAAGACCAAGACCAUCCAUUUAACUCCAAAACUUAGCAUUUUUCCUCUUCAUUUUGUUGCUGCUGGCCGAGAGGAGCAAGAAGAAAACCACCAAAGGAAAACAUUCCAUUUCUUCUUCAAUCCAACAACUAAGUGAGGAAUCAAACAAAAUAAACCGAUUAAACUUGUUCUUGAGUGAUUAGCUAGUGGUUUGUGGUGAGACUUUGGAAGAAGAAAGUUUGAGCUACUCUUAGUGAACUCUAGUCAAGGUAAGAAAGCUUAUCUCUCCAAAUUUUACUUUCAAUCUUGUUAAAUUAAGCUUAGCAACUUGAUUUUGUGGUGGAAUCAUGGAUGAUUAUCAUGUUUUAGAAGUUUUCCCCUUUUUAUUUCAUGAACUAGGAUUUGGGGAAAUUCUGCCCAAUUUGUUGUAUGAUGCUUAUAUAUUGCAAUUGAGGUUUUAUAAGGUGUUUUGGUAGUGAUUGGAGUGAGAAAUUAAGGAAAGUUCCACUAAAAACUAGAAAUUCCAGAAUCUGGAAAUUUUCCCCAACAUUUUGUCCGAAUUUGUAGCCCUAUCUUAGAGGCCGAAUUGGCCAUAGGUCAAAGAAGAAAAGUUGUAGAUAAUGGUAUUUUAUAGGUGCCUACAAAAUUUCAGCUCAAUCGGAGCAAUGUAGGUCGUGAAAAGUCCAAAAUACCCUUACUGUUUUAAGUAUUUCCCUAUCAGUCCGUGUGAUCAGUUUGUCCAGUUUAUCAUGUUUUUUGACUAGGAUACGUACUGAUUUAGCUCUUGGCCAAAACAUGAAAGUUGUAGUAUUCCGACUUAGAUUUCAAAUGCCUCUAAGAACACCUGAUUCGGACUUGUGUACUCUGAGUUAUGACCAUUACAGUGUUCUGCGUUUAAACAACCGACGAAUUGGUUUCUGGUUUAGUAAUUUGAGAAUUUGACCAAGUUACAUUAGAAAAUGGACUCAGUGACCUUCAUGAACAUUGUAGCCCUGUGUCUUAGCUUCGAAACGGCAUAGUUUAUACCUCGAUCCGAUAAGCGUAGCCUCGGAUAUGUUAUUUCCGCUUUCAUACGUCAAAUCUGUUUUGUGCUAGAUUGAAUUUCUGCACUUGCUAUCGUUGUGAAUCUUAUUAUUAUGAUAUUGUGAGCCUAUGGAACGGCUCUUGUCAUGAAUUGCUGAUAUAUGUGACGUUGGGUUUUGGUUGAGGAAAAAUAAUGAAGCCUAAAUGGCUGGAAAAUUAAGUAAACACAAAGGGCAUGCUGCCCGAAUUUUUACUCGAGAACUAGAAAACUAUAUUUGCAACUUGAGUGAAGGUUAAGUGAUUACCACUUGAACUAGCGAGAACUUUUGCUACUUUGUUAUCGAUGGUUAUACGUUAAAACCUAAACGAACUUGUACUCUUGAGGAAAAGAUAUAAUGGCCAAUGUAAACUUGUAUUUCCUUGUACUUUCAACUCAAGUAUUGUUUCUAAGUAUAUAUGCUACAAAAACCUUAUGAUUUGAAAAGCGAGCAAGUGUUUCACGAAUGCCUUUCAAAUGAAUUUCAAUUGGUUGAUUCUUAUGAACGGAACGUUUAAGUUUCAAAUCUUACUCGUGUUUCAAAGUUCUCAAAUCGGAUUUUUAUCGCAGAUCUGGACUCCAAAUCUGGAGUAUAAUUGAACGUGACUACUUCAGGCACUAUAGUUUGAGUGAGUGAUCCCUCAACUAUUUCCAAAGUUACUUUUGAACUAAUUCUUGCAUUUAUUACUCCAUUGCAUAUCAUUUGGGUUUGGGUGUAUGCCAUGACAUAAUUUGGCUCCAAUGAGUUCCUGGAAAGUCUUGUGCUUAGAACCAAUGUCUCCACUAUUGUUUACACAUUCUUUGGAGUACGAUGGCUCCUUACUUCUGUUUCAUGGUUACCUGAUCUAAACGAGCAUUGGAUAUUUAAGUACAAGAACUUCACUGGCUCACAUGAGCAAUAAAUGAACAUUUGAUUACUGCAUCAUGACAUCAUAUCAAUGCUUUAUUGUGAAAUAUACUUGGCUGUUGAUUUCACUGGUCACUCGCUGAGCUUCUAGCUCACCCCCUAUUAUCUUCUUCUCCCCACAGGGAUCGAAGUAAAGGAAGAACUUGUUUUUGGAUCUUUGUGUGGCUGGAUGGCGUACAUCUUGUAUAGUUUAGUUUUAGUUUUGGUUUGUGUACUUUUGGGCUUGUAUAAAUAUUUGGAAUUGAAUCGGAUGUAAAUCUACAUUUUACGCUUAGAACUAGUUUCCGCUUCGCUUAUGAUAUGUAAUUUUGAAGAAUUGGAUGUAUUAUUUGAGUUGUACCUUGUAAUUUACUUGAGAAAUGUAGUAAGUGAGUGAGUCCCGGCGAGAGCUGGGCAGGCGGUCCGCUAAACCCUUUGGUUCGCCUUAGGGGGAGGUAGGGUCGUUACAAAUGGUAUCAGAGCCCAUAUGCCGACAGUUGGGACCACUAGUCUUCGUCUGGAAAAGCCCCGAAGCCUCUCGUUCGUUGAAGAGUCACGAAGCGAAACUCUCUGUAGGGAGGCCCGCGUGCGGGUGGCAAGCCUGAUAGGUACCCCUGUAAUGUGACCCUGAGAACUGUUACAAUGGUAUCAGAGCUUAGGCUUCAGAUCUUUGUAGUGUAUCCUAGGCUUAAAGUUUAGGAUGCCGGACUGUGGGAUUGGUUUGUACGUUCAGUGCUCUUUUGGAGCGUCAGUUGUGACUCUUGAAAAUGGUACACGUAAGAUAUGACUUGAUGAGCUUCGUUUAAAACCAUAUGGUCUGAGUCGUGAAGUUUCUUAGUUUGAAUUCUUGUACUUGUGUACCUGAUAUUUUUCCUGAGGAAAUGCUCGUGAAUUUUAGACGGAAUAUGGUUUAACGUACGAUGAUGUGAAUAGAAAUUAUGAUUGAGUUUGAGAUAAGUUGUAAUGGCACAGGUUAGAGCGCAGAAGAUUUUGUCUUGUACUCAAGACUUAACUGAAUGAGGAAAUUGAAAUAAUGACUUGGACUUGUCCAAUAAGUGUUGGCUUGGGUUUUGAUACAUUAUGGUGGUGGCUGGAUUGUUGAGAAAAUUUUUGAUUUUGCAACCUUCAUCUAGUCUUCUUGUUUGAUUAAGGAUGGCACCACCCGAUUUGUAAGUGUUGGGAUUUGAACUACUUGAAUUGCCGGAAAUUGACUAGGCUGAGUUCACUUGAGACUUGAACAUUGUUUAGGCAAGUGUGCUUUUACGUACACUUAGUGGUUGUGAUUUGACUGAAUAUAUGGUAUUUCAUUUACGCAUGAGCAAGUAGUUUGGUUUGUAUACGACCUGUAAGUAGACUUGAAUUUGAAUCGGCUAGUGUACCCUUACAUACACUGGAUAGACCUGACCUAACUGAAAACAGGGUAUCUCUUUUACUCUUGAGCAAGUAUCUUGAUUUAUAUAUGAUCUGUAUGUGGAUUUGAGUUUGAUGACUGCUUGAGAGUGUGAAUUACUGGGCAUAAGCUAGGCGAGUGAGUUUCUACUCAUACCCGUGUUCCUUGAACCUGAAAUAAUUGACCCUGCUUUUGAACCGAUAUACUUGAACCCUGCUUUUGACUCUGUUUCUGAACAUUUUCGUACUUGUUUUGUUGUAGACCGGCUACUACUCUUCUGUAGUGAUUGAACAGAACCUCUCUGGUGAGGCAUUGCUUGUUGUGUUUUAAAGCACCGCCAUUCUUCUGGCGAGGCAUGCCUGUUGUGUUAUAAAGCACCAUCAGGGAUGAAAUUCUUGAACUGAACCUCUCUGAUGAGGUAUUGCCUGUUGUGUUUUAAAGCACCGUCAUUCUUUUGGCGAGGCAUACCUGUUGUGUUUCCAAGCACCAUCAGAGAUGAAACUUUGACUUGAGGCUCUCUGGUGAAGUUUUAGCCGUUGUGCUAGCUUGUUGUGUUAUAAAGCACCACCAGGGCCAAUUUCUUGAGCUAAGAUCCUCUGGUGAAGUUUAGCCGUUGUGCUAACUUGAUGUGUUAUGAAGCACCACCAAGGAUGAAAUUUUGAACUGAGGUUCUUUGGCGAGGUAUAGCCGUUGUGCUAACCUGUUGUGUUGUCCAGCACCGCCAUGGACAAAAUCUUGCAUCUGAGGCUCUGGUGAAGUAUAAGCUGAAGUGGCUAGCUUGCUUGUGUUUUUCAAGGCACGCACCGGGUCUGGUGAAGUAUAGCUGAGUGCUAGCUUGUUGUGUUACAAAGCACCACCAGGGGUAAUUUCUGACCUGAGAUAUCGUUAUGUCCUGAAUUGUUUUUCCAAAUACCAGGGACUUUAAGUCCGAUUUUGAGCCUUUUGGAUAUGUAUCCAGUUACUCGUCUGACUAUCAAUUGGAUCAAGAUUAUUGAAUAAGUUGGAUUGGAGUACUUUUAGUACUUGAUCGUGAUGAGUGAUUCUUAGUAUAUGAUUGACCUUUGAAAUACUUGAUCUGAUUAGUAUUUGAUUAUGAUAAGCGAGAUUGAAAUGAUUCUUAAUGCGUGAUUGACUUUCGGGAACUAUUUUGAUCUGAUUAAUACAAGUUGGAAUGUCGAGGACGACAUUCUUUUAAGGAGGGGAGUUUGUAACGCCCCGAGACAGAAGAAAAGGGAGAAAUUUUUUUAUGAAUAGUGUUUUGUGGGGAAUUCGGCUAGAAGCCGUGCAAAUUCCUUAUACUUUUCUUAAAAUUCCCUUUUCUUUGAUAAAUACCACUUUAUAAUGGCCCUACUACUCAAUCACUUCACAUUAAGUAUAAAUAAACCUAGAAAAUGGGGUUUUACGCUUCGGUUUCAAGAUUGGAGCAAAUUAGGGUUUUCGCGAUUUUUCACCGGAUGAAUUUUCGGUACAGAGUAGGGAUCACUUUUGGUGAUUAAAAGUGACUUUUAAGUGAGAAAUAAUAUGUGGCUAGUAGCAAUGAUAUAAGAUUAGUGAAUGGGAAGUAAAAACCCUAGUACGUGAGUUUUUAAGAAAAACGGCGCGAUCCGGCGGGUCCCGCGCAUUACCGAUUGAACGCACUGCUUGACCACCAUUUUUCUUACCCAACAAGUUUGUUGACUUUUGUACAUAAUAUCUUCUCAAAUUGCAGCAGCCUUGACCGAAAUUAUGAGGCUAGAAAUAAUAAGAAGGAAAGAGAAAAAAAGAGAGGUGGUGGUGGUGACACUUGUCACCACCUCAUGGCUUCUUAACCAAGACCAUUAGUAACCAUUUAAAUCCAACACUUAGCAAUUUCUUCUUCAUUUCUGCUGGGUUGGCCGAGAGCAACAAGAAGAGAAACUCCAAGGGGAAAAUCUUUCAUUUCAUCUCCAAAUCCAACAAAUAAGUGAGGAAUCGAGUGAAGUAAACCGAUUAAACUUGUCUUCUAGUGACUAGCUAGUGAGUGGUGGUGUGAUUCUUGAAGAGGAGAGCUUGUGCUACUCUUGGUGACUUUUAUUCAAGGUAAGAGAGUUUAUCUCUCUAAGUUUUGCUUUCAAUUUUGUCAAAUUAAGCUUGGCAACUUGAUUUUAUGGUGAGAUUGUGGAUGAUGAGCAUGUUUUAGUAGUUUUCCCCAAUUUAUUUGAUGAACUAGGGCUUAUGGAAAUUCUGCCCAAAUUAUUAUAUGAUGCUUAUAUGUUGCAAUUGAGGUGUUAUAUGGUGUUUUGGUAGUGAUUGGACCAAGAAAUUAAGGAAAGAUUCACUAGAAACUCAAAAUUUCCAAAAUCUGGAAAAUUGUCUCAACAUUCUGUCCGAAUUUUUAUCUAUAUUUUAGAGGCUGUUUUGGCCUUAGGUCAAAGAAUAAAAGUUGUAGAGAAUGGCAUUUUAUAGGUGCCUACAAAAUUUCAGCUCAAUCGGAGCAACGUAGGAUGUGAAAAGUCCAAAAUACCCCUACUGUUCUAAGUAUUUCCCAGCAGUCCGUUUCUUCAGUUCAGUCCAGUUUAUCACGAUUUUUGACCAGGAUCCAUUCUGAUUUAGCUCUGGGCCGAAACAUGAAAGUUUUAGUGUUCUGAAGUAGCUUUAAAAUGCCUCAAAGAAAACCUGAUUCGGACUUGUGUAUACUGAGUUAUGUCCAUUACAGUGUUCUGCGUUUAAACAGCCGGUGAAUUGGUUUCUGGAGUAGUAAUUCGAGAAUUUGACUAAGUUACAGUAGGAACUGGACUAAGUGACCUUCAUGAAUGUUGUAGCUCUGUGUCUUAGCUUCGAAACGGAAUAGGUUUCGUUUUAAUCCGAUAAGCGUAGCCUCGGAUAUGUUAUUUCCGCAUUUGUACGUCAAAUCUGUCUUGAACUAAAUUGAAUUUCUGCACUUGUACUUCAUACGAUUCUUGUUAUUAUGAUAUUGUGAGCCUAUGGAACGACUCUUGACAUGAAUUGCUGAGUUGUAUAAUGUUGGGUUGUGUUUGAGAAAAACAAUGAAGCCUAAAAGGCUGGAAAAUUAGGUAAACACAAAGGGCAUGCUGCCCGAAUUUUUACUCGAGAACUAGAAAACUAUAUUUGCAACUUGAGUGAAGGUUAAGUGAUUACCACUUGAACUAGCGAGAACUUUUGCUACUUUGUUAUCGAUGGUUAUACGUUAAAAACCUAAACGAACUUGUACUCUUGAGGAAAAGAUAUAAUGGCCAAUGUAAACUUGUAUUUCCUUGUACUUUCAACUCAAGUAUUGUUUCCAAGUAUAUAUGCUACAAAAACCUUACGAUUUGAAAAGCGAGCAAGUGUUUCACGAAUGUCUUUCAAAUGAAUUUCAAUUGGUUGAUUCUUAAUAAACGGAACGUUUAAGUUUCAAAUCUUACUCGUGUUUCAAAGUUCUCAAAUUGGAUUUCUAUCGCAGAUCUGGACUCCAAACCUGGAGUAUAAUUGAACGUGACUACUUGAAGCACUAUAGUUUGAGUGAGUGAUCCCUCGACCGUUCCCAAAGUUACUUUUGAACUAAUUCUUGCAUUUAUUACUCCAUUGCAUAUCAUUUGGGGUUCGGGUGUGUGCCAUGACAUAAUUGGCUCCAAUGAGUUCCUGGAAAGUCUUGUGCUUAGAACCAAUGUCUCCACUAUUGUUUACACAUUCUUUGGAGCCCGAUGGCUCCUUACUUCUGUUUCACGGUUAUUUGAUCUAAACGAGCAUUGGAUAUUUAAGUACAAGAACUUCAAUGGCUCACAUGAGCAAUAAAUGAACAUUUGAUUACUGCAUCAUGACAUCAUAUCAAUGCUUUAUUGUGAAAUAUACUUGGCUGUUGAUUUUACUGGUCACUCGCUGAGCUUCUAGCUCACCCCCUAUUAUCUUCUUCUCCCCACAGGGAUCGAAGUAAAGGAAGAAUUUGUUUUUGGAUCUUUGUGUGGCUGGAUGGUGUACAUCUUGUAUAGUUUAGUUUUGGUUUUGGUUUAUGUACUUUUAGGCUUGUAUAAAUAUUUGGAAUUGAAUCGGAUGUAAAUCUACAUUUUACGCUUAUAAUUGGUUUCCGCUUCGCUUAAGAUAUGUAAUUUUGGAGAAUUGGAUGUAUUAUUUGAGUUAUACCUUGUAAUUUACUUGAGGAAUGUAGUAAGUGAAUGAGUCCCGGCGAGAGCUGGGCAGGCGGCCCGCCGAACCCUCUGGUAUGCCUUAGGGGGAGGUGGGGUCGUUACAGGACUGACCCAAACGAGAAAUUUAAAACGGGACUGACCCGAACGAGAAAUUUAAAACGGGACUGACCUGAACGAGAAAUUUAAAAUCGAUACUGACCCGAGACAGGAAACUUAAAACUGGGACUGACCCGAGACAGAAAAUUUAAAAUCGGGAUCGACCCGAGACAUGAAAUUUAAAAUCGAGACUGACCCGAAACAGAAAAUUUAAAAUCGGGACUGACCCGAGACAGGAAACGGACAGGAAAUUUAAAAUCAGGACUGAUCCGAAUAGGAAAUUUAAAAUCGGGACUGAUCCGAGACAAGAAAUUUAAAAUCGGGACUGACCCGAGACAGGAAAUUUAAAAUGGGACUGACCCAAACGAGAAAUUUAAAAUCGGGACUGACUCGAACAGAAAACUUAAAAUCGGGAUUGACCCGAAUAGGAAAUUUAAAAAAUCGGGACUGACCCGAGACAGGAAAUUCAAAAUCGGGACUGACCCGAGACAGGAAACUGAAAAUCGGGACUAACUCGAGAUAGGAAACUUAAAAUCGGGACUGACCCAAACAGAAAAUUUAAAAUCGGGACUGACCUGAAACAGAAAAUUCAGAAUCGGGACUGACCCGUAACAGAAAAUUCAAAAUCGGGACUGACCCGAACAGGAAACUUAAAAUCGGGACUGACUCGAACAGGAAACUUAAAAUCGGGAAAUUCCAGUACAUUUACCUUUUGAUCAAUUUUUUGCAUGCAACAUUUUCGAUCCGCCUUUGUUCACUGGAGAACUCUUUUCGACACCGAUUCCAAUGCGAGGUGCGAUUGCUUUCAUCUGUGCAUGCAAAUUUCUGCAAAAGAGAAAGAACAAAGAAAUUGCCGCCAUCAUUUGAUCCAUUUUCCUUUGAGAAUCGUGUAAACAUGAGUUUUUUCUCCUUUCGUCAACUUUUGCUGCGGCAUCUGACUUAGUUGGAUUUGUUACUUCAAAACUUUUCUUCUUUUUCCAGACUGACCAUGUAUGCAUUUUGCCAUAUUGUGAAACCUGCGUAGCCGACUUUGCUGAAUCUCAACCAUUUCCAACAAAAUGACUAAAUCCAAGUAUGCUUCGAAUAAACCACAGGGAUUGUCAUUUACCAAAAUUCAAUGAUUAAAAAUGAUGUAUGCAAGGUAAUCUCACAUGUCAUGCAGAAAUGAAUAUGCAAAAGAACACACACAACCAAUUGUGUUUAAGCCUACAAAAUGCCACGAAUGCAAGCAAUUGGGAAAAAAUGAGCUUCAUAAGAAUGUAUUUGCCAAAGAGUAUUUUUUUACAAAGUGACACAGCUUUUGGCCAAUAACUGUCAUAUUUGAAUCUCUGGCUAUCUUUGUUCUCGAAUUCAACAUUGAUAGAAGUUUUACAAGACGAAGAGAAAUCCGAAUGAACCAAGUCACCAACUGUUCCUCCUCGUGCUCGCUCAUUGCAGAACCCUACCUUGGCGCCCUUUCGGGUUUUCACCAAGGUUGCCCCCACCCCUUUUGUUUUAUUUUUCUUUUCUUUUCUUUUUCUCUUGUCUUUUCUUUUUUUUUUGAGGUGCCCUUUCGGGUUUUCACCUAAGGAACAACGGACAAUCUCGACCAUGAUCGACUCAAGAAUAUGAGUUGAAGAUUGCUAGUAUCAGUAAAAUGCGUUUCCCUUAUAAGCUUAGGCGAAGGCAUUGUGGACAUCACUUGCCAGUUGAUUAGAGAACUUCCUAAUAGAAAUACAGCAAGUGACGAAAGCUAGGAUUUUGGGCUUUUGUAAUGAGGUCAGGUGGGGUGUUUUCAAGAAAGUUGAGGCUUGAAAGCAAAAUUUUUUUUUUUUUUAUGAGAGGUGUGAAAUAACCUGAGAUUGCAUCAUUUUGAAGUCAUCUCCAAUUUUGAACGAAACUGAAGAAAAUUUUGCCCUAGUUUGAUUGGAUUUUCCUCAUAUUUUGUCUUUUCUAUUUUUCCUUUUUCCUUUUUUUCCACAAACUAAAUUUUCCCUAGUGUAGGGUUUUCCCUUUCUUUGAUCUAUUUUUCAAAAUAAAUUUGCCCCAGUGUGGGGUUUGCAAUUCUCAGGGGCUGCCAAACGAAAAUUAUUGUUCUGAUAGCUCAAAGGGGAUGACUAGGGAUGAAAUAUUUUGAUUGGAAAAGAAGAUGACCUAACUUUUGUCUCGUCGCUUGCGUAACUUCUAAAAGAAAUUUGCAUAAUCAAAUAAAGAACUUCUUAUACAUGUCUGAGUUGAUAGGUUGAGAAAAUGUUUGUCCAUCCAUCUCUGGCAAAAUGAGUGCUCCGCCAGGUAACACCUUUUGAAUAAUGAAUGGCCCUUGCCAAUUUGGAGCAAAUUUGCCUUUGGCCUUAUCCUGUACUGGCAAAAUUCGUUUUAGCACUUUAUCGCCUUCCUCAAAUGUACGCAAAUGGACUUUCUUGUUGUAGACCCGGGCCAUGCGUUUUUGGUAACAUUGGCCAUGACAAAUAGCAUUAAGCCGUUUUUCAUCAAUCAAGGACAGUUGUUCAUGACGCUGCUUUAUCCAAUCAGCCUCUUCCAACUUGGUCUCCAUUAGAAUAUGCAAUGAACGGAUUUCGGUAGCACAACUUCCAUUCCAUACAUGAGCGAGUAGGGGGUUGCCCCAGUUGAUGUUCGGGUAGAAGUCCGAUAUGCCAUUAGUGCAUAAGGGAGCUUUUCAUGCCAAUCACGGUGCCUUUCAGUCAUUUUACGGAUGAUCCUCUUCAAAUUCUUGUUUGUAGCCUCCACAGCUCCGUUUAUCUGCGGUCUAUAGAUGGCAGAGUUGCGAUGUUUGAUUUUGAACUGUUCGCAUAGCCCGUCCACCACAUCAUUGUUGAGAUUCUUGGCAUUGUCUGUAAUCAAUGUUUCUGGCACCCCAAAUCGGCAUAUGAUGUGAUCUCUUAAGAAAUUCGCCACCACCUUCUUUGUCAUGUGCUUGAAUGAUUCCGCUUCGACCCAUUUGGUGAAAUACUCAAUUGCCACCAAUAUAAAUCGAUGCCCAUUUGAAGCAGGAGGGUCAAUUGUGCCAAUCACAUCCAUACCCCACAUUGAACAGGGCCAUGGAGCAAUCAUGCUAUGCAAUUCGGUGGGAGGAGCGCGUAUGAUGUCGCCAUGCACUUGACAUUUAAUACAUCUCCGGACAAAAUCUCUGCAAUCGCGUUCCAUUGUAAGCCAAAAAUACCCGGUUCUCAUGAUUUUCUUUGCCAACAAAUGUCCAUUCAUGUGAGGUCCACAGACACCGCUAUGCAUCUCUUUCAUCAUGUAUUGAGCUUCAUCUUCAUCGAUGCACCUUAAGAGGUUCAAAUCUGAGGUCCUUUUGUAUAAUACCUCUCCAUUUAAGAAAAACUUCGAGGCCAUUCUACGCAGGAAAACCUUGUCAUUUGCACUAGCUUCUGGAGGAUAAGAUCCGGUUCUGAUGAAUUCUUUAAUAUCAUUGUACCAAGGGCUAUUGCCAGAAGAUUUGUCUAUGACCCAACAAUGAGCAGGCUUGUCUUGGAGUUGAAUCCGGAUAGGCUCGAUUCCUAAUUCGUCCGGAUAUUGUAUCAUAGAAGAUAAGGUGGCCAAGGCAACGGCAAAUACAUUUCGGGCUCGUGGGAGAUGUCUGAAUUCCAAACUUUGAAAUUGUCUAGCCAAUUUGAGCAAAUUACAGUGGUAUGGCAGAAUCUUUGAAUCUUUGGUUAUCCAUUGUUUCAACGUUUGGUGCACGAGUAAAUCUGAAUCACUGAAGGCUAUUAACUCUUUAACUUCCAUUUCCAAAGCCAUUUUAAGACCAAAUAUACAUGCUUUAUACUCGGCCAUAUUGUUUGUGCAGGCAAAUUGCAAUUUAGCAGCUCCAGGAUAAUGCUUCCCUUCCGGAGAUACAAGGACGGUUCCGAUUCCAGCUCCAAAAGAAUUAGCUGCACCAUCGAAAAAUAAUCUCCAUUCAGGGCACCGCUCGCUCAUAUCUUCUACGGCACCAACAAAUAAAACCUCCUCAUCAGGGAAAUAAGUAUGGAGCGGUUGAUAAUCAUCGUCCUUUGGAUUUUCUGCAAAUGAUCGGCUAUAGCUUGUCCCUUGACGGCCUUUUGCGAAGUGAAAACAAUAUCAAAUUCUGAAAGAAUUAUUUGCCAUUUAGCAAGACGUCCAGUUGGCAUCGGUUUCUCCAAGAGGUAUUUCAAGGGAUCAGAGCGGGAGAUGAGAUAGGUGGUGUGACUUAGCAGGUAGUGCCUUAAUUUUUGAGCUGCCCAGGCCAAUGCACAGCAGCUUUUCUCAUUAAAUGAAUAAUUAGCCUCAUACUGUGUGAAUUUCUUGCUAAGAUAGUAGAUGACUUGCUCUUUCCUUCCAGAGUCAUCGUGCUGCCCCAGAACACACCCUACUGCUCCGUUGAGCACAGAUAAGUACAUGAUCAAAGGCCGGCCCGGUUUGGGUGGUACGAGGACCGGAGGCUGCAGCAAAUAAUCUUUAAUCUUGUCAAAAGCUUGUUGGCACUCCUCAUUCCAAUGCAACGGCACAUUCUUUUUUAACAACUUGAACAGUGGCUCGCAUGUCGCGGUUAAUUGGGCAAUGAAUCUCCCAAUGAAAUUAAUCUUCCCCAAAAAACUUUUCACAUCUUUCUGCGUCUUUGGCACUGGCAUGUCUCGAAUUGCCUUGACCUUUACCGGGUCUAUCUCUAUGCCCUUUUUGCUGACAACGAAUCCUAACAAUUUACCAGCUGGCGCUCCAAAGGCGCACUUUGCAGGUUUUAACUUCAAAUUGUACCUUCGCAACCUUUCAAACAACUUUCUUAAAUCAAUCAAAUGGUUCUCGGCUUUCUUGGAUUUGAUUAUAAUGUCAUCCACGUAAACCUCCAUCUCCUUGUGGAUCAUAUCAUGAAACAAAGUAGUCAUGGUCCUUUGAUAAGUAGCUCCGACAUUCUUUAAACCAAACGGCAUUACUCGAUAGCAAAAGGUGCCCCAAGGGGUGAUAAAAGCAGUCUUUUCUCUAUCCUCCUAAGCCAUUAAGAUCUGAUGAUAUCUAGCAAAACAAUCACAAAAGGAUUCAAUUUCAUGUCCGGCAGUGUUGUCUAGAAUGAUAUGGAUAUUUGGCAAAGGAAAGUCAUCUUUAGAACUGGCCUUAUUAAGGUCCCUAUAAUCAACACAGACUCGCACUUCUCCAUUUUUCUUUGGAACAGGGACUGGAUUUGAGAGCCAAAUAGGGUAAUGGGAUACAAUGAUAAUAUUAGUCUUAAGCUGCUUUUCAAUUUGCUCUUUUAUUUUGAGGCUCAUAUCUGGUUUGAAUUUACGGGGUUUUUGCUUUACUGGUGGAAAAGCUGUGUUUGUAGGUAAUUUGUGCACCACUACAUCAGUCGAAAUGCCAGUCAUAUCGUCAUAAGAUCAUGCAAACACAUCUUGAAACAUAGACAAAAAUUCGAUCAUCUCCUCUUUUUGCUUUUUGUUCAAAUGAAUGCUGAUUUGUAUCCCCUUAACCUCAGUCUCAGUGCCAAUGUUAACAACUUUUGUUUCUUCUAGGUUCGGUUUAGAUUUCUCCUCAUAUUGUUCAAGAUCUUUGGAAAAAGAAUCAAAUACUUUCUCACUAUCACUCUCGCUUUGGAAUUCGGAUUCCAUAACUUCCAAGUCGUGAGUGAUAUAGAGAUUGUCAUCGUCAGAUUCCAGAACAGUGAUAUCCAAAUGGUCAAAUAAUUUUAUUUUUGGCCAUCUGAAAGAAUUAAGAAAUUCGAGACAAUAAGCAAAUAAAUACAUAAACGAACAACAUGAUAAAAACAAACUAUGCACUUUCAUAAAAAUAUUUGAAUAAUAAUGCCUUGACAAAUUGACAAUGUUCUUCCAUCCAAAUCGAGCAAAUGCCUCGGACACCUUAUAAUGAUCAUCCACCUCAGGCACAAAAUGUUUUUCAAUUAUAAUCUACUUUGCUAAUCUGGCCUCAUACACUCUUUGUGUGGACCCGAAAAUUUUCUUAUUUUAUCUUCUAUUACUGGCUUAUUUAAAUAUUUAUUUACCCGUAUUCUCCGAAUAAUUUAUUUCAACCAUUUUAAAUCCAUUUACAUGGAACUAUGCCUUACUUAUAUUUUUAAAACAUCUCGUUAGCAAAUUUAAUUUUUGGAAGCUCGUUUAGUAAGAAAUAGCGAAUACACGUUUUGAGGCAAUAUUCGACCUGUGAGUGCUAUGAUCUUGGAGAUUUGAGAAUUCACGCUUUAUUUCUAAAAUAGUUAUUUUUAUGAUUAUUUACCCUAGUAUUAGUUACUUAUAUUAUUGUUACAAGAAUUUCUUUUAAGUUUCGCUUUAUCGUGCGCGAAUUGGAAGUUCGCGUAUAUCGAACCGGAACGACUAAGUGGAGAUUUAAGAAACUAAUACUAGACUACUAAGAGUGAAUAAUUAUAAUGUUAAAGGAAGUACAUUAGAGAUUUAGUGCACAAGUGAAAUAAAUUCGAGAGAAAACAAACACGAAACGCGCGCGCGCGAGUACUAUUCGUAGUUGACUUUUGCUCAAAAUUUUAAUCACAAACACUCAAGCUUCUCCAAGAAGCUUCAUUCAUCAGCUUUCUCUCUCUCUCCUCUCACCAAGACUGGCCAAAACCCUCAAGGGAAGAAAAAGAAAAGCUCUUCACAAUUUUACUUCAAAACUUGCUCCAAAUCCUUCACAAAUCACCAUCCAACCUCAAAAUCAUUUGGAAAUUCACUUAAGCUAGAAGAAAGACUUCAUCUUGGCAGUUUUCUUGGAGUUUUAGUGAUCAAAAAAUUCUGGUUUCUCUCAAAGCUAGGAGGUAACCAUCCAACCUUUCAUUCUUGGCUUUAAUGGGUUUUAUUCUUAGCUUUGAAGCUUGUAGCUUCAUUAUUGUUGUUGUUACUUGGAUUGGAUUGGUUGAUGUGGGCUCUAUGAAUUACCACCUUGGUUGUAUGGGCUGAUAUGAUGAGUUAAUGCUUGAUUUGAGUUGUUUAAGUGUUGGUUAAGAUGGUUAUGAAUAUAGAAUCAAAGGAAAGAUCGAAGGAAGUCGCGUAGGAUUGAUGACCGAAAUCUGUCCUGUUUGUGCCAUGCUUUCAGUUCGAAUUUUUGAUGCUCAAAUGACUUUGAAACUGAUGUAUAUAUGUUGUGUAUGGUGUGUAGAAAGUUUUUACCAAAAAUCAUUUGGAUUGGUUGGAUAAAAAUUGAAUUUUGGCAAGAACAAAUCUGGAAAAUUCGUGUAGCAGUGGUCCACUGGCAGUGUUCUUUAAACGAACAUAUCUCUCUGUUUAGAAGUCGGAAUUGAGUGACGUCAGCGGCAUUCAAAACUAGACAUCCGUAGUUUUCUAACGGUGUAAAAUGAACCUUCUAAUUCUAACUGAGUCAUCUGUAGUGAUUGAUCAAAUUCGGCUACCCUGUUCUGUUAGCCUAUCUGAGAGAAGGGUAGAGGCUGCAUUUUGUGGCUCUAUUUUCUCUCACUUAUGAAUUGAUUUUGAAAAUUAUUUGUUCUGAAAUAUAGCCUUAUGAUUUUAGUUUCCAACGCCACCAACCAUUCUCAAUUCCAAGUUGUAUUGAGUGAGAUAUGGUUCUACUUCCAAACUGCGACAAAACUGGAAAACCCUUCUUUUGGGCUAGCCGCCUGGUUUGGUUGUUAGUGAGGUGUUUUAUUUUGAAAUUUUGAUGCCAACCAACUACCAAUUGUUUAUGAAACAUUUCUUGGAUCUUGGUUUCACAAAUGAACCAAAAUGGGACUGAUUUUAUAGGGUAAAGUGUUUGAAAAGAAAAAGAAAGCUAGAAGGCAGAUUUGCUUUGGGAAAUUUCUUGAAUUUUGGUAGUUUUGUUAACUACCUUCCUGUACGAGUUUUUACAUGAAAUUUGAUAGAGGAUUAUUCCUCAUAUGGAAGCUGAAUUUUACCAAAUUUGGUAUUAUUCUAAGACCAUUUCGAUACCCAAAUGAUGUCCCAAAGUUUACUUUCAAAUCUGGAAAUUCACUGUUUCAUAGUGAAAAUUUACCAACUUUGACCUGCUAUAUUUUGGCACUCAAAACUCUGAAUUUAGUUCCGAUUGUUGUGUUUGAAAAUUUUUUAGAACUCUUAUUGUAGUACAAAUUUCAGGAGGCUAGUUCACUUUCUGUGAAUUUUGCCAAAUUUCCAAAGUUUAUCGAAAAACAUGAUCGAAACUGUCUUGUAUGCUCAAGUCAGCCACUUUGAGCUGAAAUUUGGCUGUCUUUCGUUUAGAAUCUUGGAAAGAUGUCUUCUGGGAACUUUUAGUAUUUUGAACCAAGAUUCCAAUAGUAUAAAGUUUUUCAAUUUUGGACCUACUGAGUGCAAGUUCUGAUUUUUCUAAGUUUGUCGUGCAAAACUGAAAUUUUCCGAUUCAAUGGGAAAUGAGUUUUUGGAAACUCUUCCCUAUCCUUCGAUAUUGAUUGACCGUUUUAAAGUUGAUUUCAUGAAGGAAAUCAGUUUUUUCUUGUGUUAUUAAACCCCAUUUUUGAGUCUCGAUUUAUAAGUAAUUAAGGCUCUCUUUCAUGAUAUCUUCUUAAUAUCGUACAAGUGUACAAUCCUCCCUGUUAACAAGGGGUUUAUAAGUGAUAGUGUGUGAUAGUAAAUUAUUAUUUGUUCAGGCGCUCAAGGGGACCUUCAAAAGGAUCUCGAAGCGGACGUCUAAAAGUUAUUGAGCACUUACUCCCUACUUUGACUUGGUGAGUGUCAAGUGUGUGAAAAAUUGUUACAUGCUUAAUUGUUAUUAUUGAUUGAGUAUUUUGAAUAUGCCGAGUAGAGUGUGUACUUUAUCGCACUCGUUCUCGUUUAAGUGAAGUGUAACUGAGUUGCUUGAAUUGAAUUACUUGAAGUGAAUUGUUAAGUGAAUUGAGUGAAGUGUUACAAUAGUGAAUUAUGCUAUGGUUGCAUAUGUCGUUAGAGUGAAUCUCCUCGACUCCUAGUGAUACUCUAGCCGGCAAGGGCUUGGUCGGGAAGUUUGACGAGCCAUGGGAAAAGUGUAUAAGCUUGAUCUAUUAGAGAGAUCUCACUUGGCAUACUCUAGUAGUAUUGCCUUAUAUAAAAGAAGUGCGGGCCCGAAGCAGAGGGAGUAACGGUGAACGGGGAAAGUGUAAGUGAAGUUCUACAGAUUAUAACCUACCAGAUUGAUGGAGUGUCAACUCGUGGAGGUUCUGGAUCGAGCAAGUGGAAAUUAACUCUUGAGAGCUCCUGUAUCCUUAUCAAGUGUAUUUUAUUGUUAAAUGUGAAGUACUUGAAUGUUACAGCUUUUAUUCUUGUUCAAGUGUUAUUGUUAUUUGAACUACGUGUUUUGCAUGUUUUCUUGGCCUCACGAGCAUCCGCUCACCCCGUUAGAUUUGUUUUCCUUUACAGGAGCUGAACUGGAAGGGAUUAUGGAAAAGCCUUCUUGAUGGCUCUUUUGACUAGAAUUUUGGAAUAUAUUUGUCUAGAUAUCUUUUUGGGAAGUUGUAUAUUUUGGAAAGUAGAUGUAUUUUGAACUUGUGAUGUAAGAUUGAAUGUUUAUGUAUGGAAAUGACUUCGUACCUUUAUUCCGACUUUCAUUGUUAGUAUUAGUCUUUAAGUUCAGACUGGAUUUGUAUUGAGUUCUAACGAGAGUUGGGCAGGCGUCCCGCCGAUACCCUUUAGUUCGCCUUGGGGAGAAGUGGGGGCGUCACACUCUUGAUUUUCAAGGGAAGUGAAUCGUGUGGUAUCAUAUUCUGGGGGCUCUUUUUCUUGACUCGUUGAUUCUUGUUUGCGUCUUGAACAAGGUAGUGGCUCAGGUAAAGAAGAUUCUUCCUCUGAAGAAGGUGUUUUUUUAGGGCUCAAAAAAGAAGUCGUCUCAUGAAUGAUAGUCCGUCUUGUUUGGACCAGGUACCUAUGUCAAAAAAAAAAUAAAUGCUAGGAAAAUAAUCACUAUGAUUACCAAAAUUUUCUAAAAUUCACUUUCUAAAAUUGCCUGAAAUGCACAAAUCAAAGCGGAAACAAGCUAAGAGCAUAAGUGCAAAAAAAUGCUUUCAUUGAACUAUUUACAUAUGCAAGAAAAAGUUUUCAUAAACUUUAGUAAACGACAACCCCCUUUAGAUUUACCGAAACUCCUUUCGUACGAGGAGGUACUCGGCAGUCCAAUUGUGUAUAGUUCCUUCGGGGAUGUUUGAAAAUUCUGCAUCAUCUGAUGGACCAUCUUCGGAUAUUGCUGUGACAGCCCCACCUUCCCCUAAGGCGAACCAAAGGGGUUAGCGGACUGCCUGUCCAACUCUCGCCAGGACUAACGGUUCGGUAUAGAGCGAACUAAUACGAUCCGAAAUUUACAAACGCGCGUAAACAAGUCAAAAUGUCAAAAUAAAACCGGAGUCGGCCAUGAAUAGUAACCGACCGUCGAAACCUCAACCAAACAUCAAGCAAAUAUUUACAUGUUGAAAUUUAGCAGAUACAAUCCAAAGCGGCAUACCAAAGUGAUUCAAAAGUGGAUACAAGUACGAUUUGCCAAAUCAAAAGAGAAACGGUCCCAAAAGUACAUUUAGGGUUUCAAUAAAUGAGCUAUACAAAAGGUAUGUCCAACUAGCUCAAUUCGAUAACCAAUUAUCAAUUGCAGUCCAAAAGUAUUUAUUUUCCUGUAAGGAAAACAAAAGGAAUAGGGCGAGCUAAUUGCCCAGUGAGAUAAUACUACUCAAGCAACCAAGUUCAUAGAUACAUCAAGCUUUUCAGUCCAAUUCAUCAAAAGUAAAUAAAGACACACAUCAAUAAUGAUGAUAAAAGGAUACGGGCGGCUCUCAAGAGCUCUUUUCCUCAUUUGCAUUUUUGAUCGGAUCUCAUUGACUCUCCGUCAAUGUUUAAAAGUAACCAACCGUAGACUUCACUUUACUUCCAUUCCUUCCACCUAACAUUCCCCUACAGGGCCCGAACUCCAAACACUUGCACUGUGGUAUUACUCGAGUAUACCGGAAUCGAGAGUUUCGCAUACUACAAGAUUCCAUAUAACUUUUCCCAAGACUCAUUAAUUGUCACGACCAAGCCCUCGCCGGCUCGAUUCAAUCAACUACCAAUGGGGUUGAGCUCAAUGAUAACAAUCAUGGUCGUUGGAUACUCGUCCAAACGACACCAAGUCAUGUACUUUUAUUUCAUGUAACAUUCCAAUAACAUGAGAAAUAAGUGAGAGUGAUAAAGUACACCCUCACUUCAAUCAAUAUCAAUGGUGCAAUAACAUUUAACUCAUCAAGUUCAAGUAUCAAAGCCAAGUAGUAACACACAAGUGAGUAGUACACUCACCAAGCUCGAAAGUGAUAUUUCAUGCACUUCCGUCAAAGGAACGUCGUGAACCACCGUCACGCCCUAAAACACGCAAACAAGUACAAUGAGACUCGAUAACGAGUCAUAAACCAAUGCCAAAUAUUCCCAAAAUAGGGUUCCAUAAGCACACACAAGCAAUAGAGGAAACCAGAAAAAUCCGGAAAUGGAGUAAGUGUUAACCCGGAAAAAAAAUAGUUUUUGACGUCAUUAUGCGGUAUUGGCACCAAUGGCACUACGAUUAUCGGAUGAAGGUGUAAGACCAACCAUUUCGAAGCUAAGAGAUAGGGCUACAAUAUUACAGAAGGUCCCUCAAUCCAGUUUCGAGUGUAACCAGGUCAAAAAUGCAAUCUACUACACCAGAACCGCAAAAAUAGAUUCACAGAACGCAUUCUAGUGUAAACAUCAUACAUCAGCCUACCUAAGUCCAAAUCCAGAAAUUCCAAAGCCAUCUGAAAGCUAAGAAACAGGGAUACAUUUCAUCAGAAGACCUUAACAACCAAUUCGGAAGCAUUCCUGACCAAAAUAACCAAUUACAGAAGCAAUUCCAAAAUUCGGGUAAAACCAGGGCAGCAAGGGUAAUUCCAUCUUUUCUCAAGUUACGCUACUCCGAUUGACCUGAAAUUUCGUAGGAUUCUCUAAAAUAUUAUUCCCUAAAACUUUCAUGUUUUAACCCAAGGCCAAUUCGGCCUCUAACUAUGAGCUACAAAAUCGGGCAGAAUGUAGAACAUUAAAACCCUAACUUUUCAAUUUUCUUCCAAAACAGAAAUUGCUUGCAAUUAACCACUUUUUCCACCUUCUAGCUUCCUUAAUUACCAUUUCCAAUCAUCAUACAUGACCACAUAAUCAUAUUGAUAUGAAAACAGAAAAAUCCCCAAUAAUUACAAAAUUUCACCAAUUCAACCAAAAUCAAGAAAUAAUCCAUAAAAUUGCAUCUUAUACUACCACUAAUCAUGGAUUAAACAUCAUUAAAGGGAGGAGAGGGGUCCUUCUCAACUUACCUUAGCAAGACAAGAAAGAGGGCAACUAGUCCUCUUACCUUUCCAAAUAACUCCACAAAACAACUCACAAACACUCCCUUAAGGGUUUCUAUGGAACAAAAACAAGAGUAAAUGGUUGAUUUGGUAGAUUGGAGCAAGAUUGGAGCAAACUUGGAGAGCUUUCUUUCUUCCUUUCUUGAGAGAGAGGGCCGGCCACUAGAGCUUGGAAAUGGAGGAAUUUUUGGUAAAUUUUUAGCUUAUUUAGUCAAUUGGUAAGACAUGGAAUAGUAGUCAAAAGUUUCUACCAACCCUAUGGUGACACUUGUCACCAUCAUUAAUUGCUUGCCUAACUUUUGUCUCUCUUAUACCAAUCCACUUAGCAUCCUCUACUUAUCUCUUAACACCCGGUAAAUUAAUUUCAAUAUCCAAAACUUAACCUAGUUGGCCGAAUUUUUCCGAACUUUUCGCACUAGUGGAUCCCACGUUCGAUAUACACUCUUAAUUUCACAUGAACUAACUUAUACUAGAAAAAUGAUUUAAAAACUAUAUUUUGCUCAUAAAAAUUAUCUGGGGAAUUUUCUAAUAAAGAAAAGGUAUAAAAGUGUGCAAUUAAAUAAAAUAAAAUAAAACCGUGUAAGACCAACCGUUUCGAAGCUAAGAGAUAGGGAUACAAUAUUACAGAAGGUCCCUCAAUCCAGUUUCGAGUGUAACCAGGUCAAAAAUGCAAUCUACUACACCAGAACCGCAAAAAUAGAUUCACAGAACGCAUUCUAGUGUAAACAUCAUAAAUCAGCCUACCUAAGUCCAAAUCCAGAAAUUCCAAAAACAUCUGAAAGCUAAGAAACAGGGAUACAUUUCAUCAGAAGACCUUAACAACCAAUUCGGAAGCAUUCCUGACCAAAAUAACCAAUUACAGAAGCAAUUCCAAAAUUCGGGUAAAACCAGGGUAGCAAGGGUAAUUCCGUCUUUUCUCAAGUUACGCUACUCCGAUUGACCUGAAAUUUUGUAGGAUUCUCUAAAAUAUUAUUCCCUACAACUUUCAUGUUUUAACCCAAGGCCAAUUCAGCCUCUAACUAUGAGCUACAAAACCGGGCAGAAUGUAGAACAUUAAAACCCUAACUUUUCAAAUUUCUUCCAAAACAGAAAUUGCUUGCAAUUAACCACUUUUUCCACCUUCUAGCUUCCUUAAUUACCAUUUCCAAUCAUCAUACAUAACCACAUAAUCAUAUUCAUAUGAAAACAGAAAAAUCCCCAAUAAUUACAAAACUUCACCAAUUCAACCAAAAUCAAGAAAUAAUCCAUAAAAUUGCAUCUUAUACUACCACUAAUCAUGGAUCAUUAAAGGGAGGAGAGGGGUCCUUCUCAACUUACCUUAGCAAGACAAGAAAUAGGGCAACUAGUCCUCUUAGCUUUCCAAAUAACUCCACAAAACAACUCACAAACACUCCCUUAAGGGUUUCUAUGGAACAAAAACAAGAGUAAAUGGUUGAUUUGGUAGAUUGGAGCAAGAUUGGAGCAAACUUGGAGAGCUUUCUUUCUUCCUUUCUUGAGAGAGAGGGCCGGCCACUAGAGCUUGGAAAUGGAGGAAUUUUUGGUAAAUUUUUAGCUUAUUUAGUCAAUUGGUAAGACAUGGAAUAGUAGUCAAAAGUUUCUACCAACCCUAUGGUGACACUUGUCACCAUCAUUAAUUGCUUGCCUAACUUUUGUCUCUCUUAUACCAAUCCACUUAGCAUCCUCUACUUAUCUCUUAACACCCGGUAAAUUAAUUCCAAUAUCCAAAACUUAACCUAGUUGGCCGAAUUUUUCUGAACUUUUCGCACUAGUGGGUCCCACGUUCGAUAUACACUCUUAAUUUCACAUGAACUAACUUACACUAGAAAAAUGAUUUAAAAACUAUAUUUUGCUCAUAAAAAUUAUCUGGGGAAUUUUCUAAUAAAGAAAAGGUAUAAAAGUGAGCAAUUAAAUAAAAUAAAGCCUAGAAAUUCGGUAAAUUUUCGGGUCCUCACAAUUGCUCCCACAAACAACUGAAUCAGACUUGUCUCCACUUCAUCAAUUGGACUAAACUCAGAUGUAAUCACUUCAGCUGGCCUUGGAAAGGUAUAGCGUAGUGGCAGAAUGUCUAAAGCACCUUACUUGCCUUCUUUUUCUGCCCUUUUUCGUGCUUUCAUCUCUUGUAUAUCUCUGACAGUUGGGCGAAAUCCUAACCCAAAAAGGCCCCUCUUUUCGAUAAGUUCCACUGUCUUCAAGAUGCCUUGCAGAUUACGGCCCAAUCCCUUAUCAAAUUUGUAUCCUCCGCGAAUCAUCUCCUUGGCCAUCAUAACACUGACCGCUGGCAAAACUAUUUUGUCUUUUGAAACCUCACUUGUUAUCCAACUCACGGAGACAAUGUUGGCUGUACGGUAGGAAGACACUGAAGCAUUUCGGUUACCGUCCUCUUUUGACUUGGAAUCAGCGAUCACAAUGCAAUCUUCUUCGGCAAAAAUGGUUACUAGAUGAUCAUUCAUUACAAACUUCAAUACCUGAUGCAAUGAAGAGGGCACGACGCCAGAACUAUGAAUCCAUGGCCGCCCAAGUAAAAUAUUAUAGACACUGGGAAAAUGCAUGACUUGGCAGGCUAUCUGAAAUUGAGCGGGCCCCAUUUCGACCACCAAAUCUAUUUCUCCUAUAGACUCCCUUUGGGCUCCAUCGAAUCCUCGAACUAUGGUCUCUGAGGGUCUUAAUUUGACACCUUGCACCCUAACUUGAUCAAAGUGUUCCAGGGACAAAUAUUGAGAGCAGACCCAUUGUCAAUCAGUACUUUAGGCAACAUUUUGCCAUUGCACCUCACAGCUAUAUAUAGAGCCUUGUUAUGCCCAGUUCCUUCUGCAGGUAGCUCUUCAUCAGAGAAAGUGAUUUGCUUGGAAGUCAGUACAUUCCCAACUAUGUGCGAGAAAUUGUCGACUGAAAUAUCCUUGGGAAUCUGAGCUUUAGUCAAAACUUCAAGUAACGCAUCCCUGUGCAAGUCAGAGGAAAAAAGCAAGUCUAAUAUGGAAAUUUGGGCAGGCAUUUUGUUCAGCUGUUCGAUCACAUUAUACUCGCUUCUUUUAAGCCUCUUGAGAAAAUCCCAUGCUUCUUUUUCGGCCACAGCGGGUUUUGGAGUCGGCUCAUGGUUGCUUAGUUUGAUUGGGGCGCUGGCAGUGGAUGAACUUGCAAUCUUUCCUGACCUCGUAACAGCAGACACUUCUUCCUUCAAAAUUUGCUUACCCCUGAUUUGCAAAACGGGCUCACUAUAAUUCCUCGGCACUUGUCGUAAACUUAAAACCGGCACUUGUUCUGGGAAUUCAAUUACCACAGGUUCUAAGGCCUCACUUUCAGAUAGAGUUAGGUCUAGAAUGAAGGGCUUUUUGUCUUCCUCGUACGGUGCUUCCUCUAUCUCAAAAGGUUGAUCCAUUAUCCCAAACACUUCUGUCUUAUUUGACAUGCUUCGGACAAGCUCUUCGAAUUCCUUAUUAUCCAUGAUAACUCCAAUAGUAUCGGCGUGCUCCGGCAAGGGGUUCUUGCUCACAUUCAGUCCUUGCUCUUCUUUUUUCUUAAUCACGAUUUCCCCUGCUUCUAACAUGUCUUGAAUUUUAUGCUUGAAAAGUCGGCAAUUGGCAGUGGAGUGACCAGGUGCCCCUGAAUGAUAAGCACAAAUAGCCUGUGGAUUGUACCCAGCAGGCAUGCCAUAAGGGUAGGUUGGAGGGGGGAUCACGCCUAUUUUACCGGCAGCCUUCAAUUGCUCGUACAACUGGUCCAAAGGCCUGCCUAGGUUGGUGAAGAUUCAGGUGCGGUUUUGAUUAUAGGUUCCAGUGGGUUGGGGAUAACUAUAGGUGGAUCUGUUUAGUGGGGGAAAUCGCUGGUUGUAAGGAGGAUGAGGACGAGUUUGUUGAAAAUUUGUUUGAGAUAUUUGGAAAGGGGUUGUAGGCGGGUUGGGGUCAUUUGGGCGAGGUCGGGGGUGGGCGAUAUUGGUAUUGUAGACAGGGUGAGGACUUGGAUAGUAGGGAUAAGGUGGUGAAUACGUUGGGCUGUGUUGAAAUCUGGGUCUUGGUGUAGGGUUUCGGUCCCAAAUAAAGGCAGUUUCCCCCUCUUUCUUCUUAAAAGGUGUCUUUUUUCACAUUGCUCCCUUGUCCUUGCAAAGCUUUCAACUGCGACUUGAGGGCAGAGACAUCAACGAUUUUCCCAGCUCUUACAAAGUCAUCAUACGCUUCAAGCUUAUUGACAAUAGCGGCAAACGAGCAUCCAGCCAUGCGAAAAAUUUCCUCAAAGUACAGCGGAUCAUGUGCCUUAAUGAAGGUGCGAAUGAUUUCGUCCUCAGUCAUUGGUGGCUCGACUUUUGCAGCUAUCUUCCUCCACCUUUUAGCAUAUGUUUUGUGGUCCUCAGAUGGUCUCCUCUUUGUGCCUUCCAAUGUAGUUCGUGUCGGAGCGAGCUCGCAAUUAUACUCGUACAGCCUUACAAAAGUAUUGGACAAGUCAAGCCAGGUCUCCACUUCCUCCGGUUUCAAAUUGGAGUACCAAUCGAGUGCAUCCCCCUCCAGACUUUCCGGGAAUAACCUUAGAGGCAGAUUCUCAUCAUCUACGGGCCUUCCCAACUUGUUAGCAAAUAGUCGGAGGUGUGUUUGGGAUUACCCGUCCCAUCAUACUUGUUAAAUUUAGGGGUUUUCAACCCCUCAGGAAACUGUACAUUCGGAAAAAGGCAAAGUUCAUCGUAAUCCAGGACUCCUUGCUUGUUCAACCCCUGACUCUUCCUCAUAAAUUCGUCAAAACGGUCCAGGCGCUUGAGCAACUUCAUAUCCACAGGAGCAGAAGAUUCUCCUACUUCUGGUUUAGCUUGGACAGUGUGGUCUGGCAGGAAAGGCUCUGCAGUGGUGUGAUAAAAGGUAUGUGGCUCGGGGGGUAUAUUCGAAGUGAUUUGGGGUUGUGGACCUUGCAUGUGAGUAGGAAAGAAUGAAGGAUUAGGCGGGUAAGUGUAUGUCAAAUUUGCAGUGGUAUAGGUGAAGGUUUCUUCGGGUGGAAUAAUGAAGGAUGGAGUAAAAGUGGUUUGAGUGGUGGGUAUGACAAACGAUUCUGGUUCCGGUUGACUGACAGGUGCGGGUUCGGGUUGAACACCACCGCUGAUAAGCUGAUCAAUUAAUUUCCUCUGGGCCGCCAUCUCAGUGGUCAUCUCGCUGAACUUAGCAAGCAUCUCGGUCAGUUGGACCCCCAAAUUUGCAGUCUCAGGUUGAGCUAUAGUGGCGGACCUAUCCAACGGUUCGGGUUGUGAACUCAUGUUUACACGAUUCCUCUGGGCUCGACUACGGGAUCGCGUUAUGAUGGGGUUUCGACGAGAAGCUAUGUUUAAAUAUUACCUGAGAAUUUUGAAAGGAAUCGCUUUUAGAUUUAGCCGUUGCUUAGCUAUUCCAAUAAAAAUAAAGAAAAGGAAAAAGAAAAAGACAAGAGUUAGUAAAUAUCCAAAAAAUUCGGAUGCAUGUCCUAUGGGGGAACCCUUUUGUGCCAAGGGUAGGCCUAACAUGAUGCUAUACCUUCGGGGUAAAAUCCCAAUUUCAAACCUGUAAGUGAAUAUAAAAGCAGGAAUACUCAUUAAACAUGACUAAACUCAAUCCUUCUUUACAAUCUCAUUGAAGAUUCGACUGACCAUUCUUACAAAAUCCUCAUGUCUGGCUAAUCUAGUGUGUUGAGAUUCUCUAGAACUCCCUAUACUAAGCUUCCGAAUCUCAACUUGGAUUUUAUCAAAUGCAUCCAACGCCUUUUCCAAUUUCUCGAUUUUCCUUGCCUCUCUCUUCAAUUGCGAUCGGGCGUCUUCCAAUGCUUGGUCAGCCACCAUAAUCUGUAACUGGUGAUCCUCCAACUAUUUCCUUAGUUUCUCAUUCUGCUCCUCGAGACUAACGGAGACCAGCGGUAACCCUUCUUUUCCUUGUUCCACUAUCGAUUUGAUCCAGUCGUCGUAUUCCAAGGUGACCUUAGGCUCUACUUUAUUCACUUGGUCCAAAUGCAGGUUAUCCAAACUAUGCAGAUUCCUCCAAGCUUCCAGCACUAUACUCCGGCAUUCGGUGACUGUAUUGAAUUCGAUGAUUCCCAUUCCUUGUACGGUCGGUACUCUCUGCGGAUACCCAAACUAUCUCAUAACUCGCUGCGGAACGUACAUAACUAACCCACUGGUGCUUGCUAACGGGAUGAAACCAAGUUGUGUAGUCUUGAAGGCCGGAUCCCUUACUUUCGUCCAAUCAAGAACCCAUUGUAUCUUAUCCGAAAUCAAAGCAUCGAAUUUCUGAAUAAACAAACUCAGAGACUCUAUUCGAUAGUAUCUUUUAACCCUUUCUCGGUGCGAUUCAACCCAAUUUGCUGUUGGAAGACAUGAUCCCAAUGGAUUCAGUGUUCUUUUUGACAGAUGCUCCAUUGCCCACAUUUGAAGUACCAGGUUGGAUGCGUAGAAAAACCCUCUCUUCUUUUGGCAUUCGGUAACAGCGGUGAAGAUGUCAGCAAUGAUAACGGAUACUAGGGUGGGAGUUUUCCCUUUAAUUCCCAAAAACACACUCUGAACCAUGUUGACCGUUGAGAAAAUAACUUUUCCAUGCUUUUGCGGAAACAGAAGUAGAUUAAUCAGGGUUAUUCCAAAGGCUUGCACACGUUUCUCCUCCCACUGCUCUCUACUAAUGAAGAAAUCCUCGUGGUGAUGGUCAUAGGCUUCCUUUUCCCCAAAUCGCUUGUAUAAGAACUCCAGCGGGCAUGAUCUCGCGUCCGGGUGUUGGUUCAUGCUAAACUGUCUCAACCCUAGGAACCUACAAAAUUGUUCUCUGGUGCCAUUCGUUGGGUAUACCAUAGGGUGACCUUUCCCAGGUACUUGCAACAAUCCUUCUAUUUCCUCCAGGGUUGGUGUUAAUUCGCACUCUCCAAAUCAGAAAACGGAGCCGUCCGGAUCCCAGAACUCGAGCAAAGCUUGGAUAAUGGCUACAUUCGGGGUUAUGUUCAGGAGACUAGGUAAAUGUCCUAUAUACUGGAAAAGUCUAUUCACUUCGUGUGCCAUAUUGUUCUUCCAAUCUAUCAGCUCACGAGGUAUCUGAUUUAGCAUUCUACAUGGAGCCAUCUGGGAGGAAAUUCACUUUUAGUACCUUACCCUGGGAUUUUCCCCCUUAGGUAAUACAGAAAUAGUAAACAUGUAAGUCCCAUUGGAUUAAAUAUCCGAGAUAUGUGGUGGCUUAUUCCUAACACGGAAUUCCCUAUGUGACAUUCCCUUUCUAUGGUUUAUGUGUGAUGCCAGUUUAUUAAAGCAGUAAAAUAUGCAAUUUGAAGUGAAACAUGACCUAAGGGACCCUUUAUUUGCCAGGGUAGGCCUAAAAUGAUAUGGCAUUAUUAAUUUAUGAACGAAAUAUACCAAAAUUUCUUAAACGUACAAUAGCCUAUCUACAAGGGUAGGUUCUACAAGAAGAUCAUACCAGACCUUUUAUCUCUUAAUGUUUGUGAAUGCAAAAGGCAAGAAACAAGGAAAGUUAGCUCAACACAUAACACAUUGUGGCAAUCAAAUAAUAAUAAAAUAUAGAAAGCAAAAAAUAAGGUAAGAGGGUUGGAAUCCCCCCCUCGUGCAUAGUGUCCCUAGUUCAGGAUAAGGUCGAUCUACCCUAAGGCACUUCUAAUAUGGAUGCAUGAGGUUUGGCUCACUAAUGCAUCUAGACUCGAUAGGUCUCCAGGUUCCCAAGCCUUCAGACCUAAAGGUGAAGGGUCAUCAAUCCCAGGACCUUUGAUCGGUGGCUUGAGUGAUCCCUUAGGCAUCGCUAUGGGCGCAGUGCACACCAUCCGCCUACCUAAGGAAAUCAAUCCUAAUCCUACAGGGUGGUGUGGGAAACGCCCACGAAAAAGAAAAAAAUAGGGUAAGUAAACUAUGCAUGCACGUAUGAAGUGCUUUUUAUUUUGAGGGGAGGGAUUGUACCAUUAGAUGCGGUCGAAGGUUUUAGGGUAAGUACCCCCCAUCCCAAAAUGCAAUCGCGAAACAAGUAAAGAAACAAUCCAUUCAUCACAUACAUAGUGUGCGAGGAGUGAUUACGCGCGUCGUAAAUGCAACAAACCCUAAAAAAGAGGAAAAAAGGAAAAAGGAAAAGAAGAGUGCAACCUAAUACUCCAAAUAUGAUAUAUGAAAAGGUUAAAAGAAGAAAGAGAUUGACUAAAUCAAAUUUGCUCGGACUCUGUAAGUCCCCAGUGGAGUCGCCAACUGUCGCGCCCCAUUUUUAAAAUAAAAAUGAAAUCAAUAAUGCAUUUUUAGAAAAAGUGAAUUUUGGUUUAAUUUUUGAUUUGAAAAAGGAUUUUUUGAUUUAAAAAAGAAAAUGGGCCUAAAUGGGACUUGUAAUGCGACGACUUGGGCCCAAAUUAUAGUUUAAAAAGGGUUUUUGAAAUAAAAAUCGAAGUCGCCACUUGGUAUUGAGUUAAGGUGUACCAAGUCACCUAAAAAUGAAUUUUGUAAAGAAAAAAUAGAAAAAUCCUUUUUAAACGACUCCAAGUCCAUGAAAAUUAGAGAAAGUGUACGGGAGUCACAUUUGACGAAGGGGAAGGCAAGGAUUGAAAUCCGAAGCACCCCUUCGACCUAGCCAAGGCUAGUUGCAUGAUUUAGUCAAAGAUUUUCUUAUUUUUAACCUAAAAAUUUAUCACAUUUGGAUGUACUAUAUGGAUGCAAACCCUUGACCUAGGAGUGUGUCGGGGGGGCAAAAUAUCUCUUCAAAGUCCAAUUGGUGCCACUCACAUUAAUUGUGAUGCCCAAUGAAGAUUUUUCGAAGAAGUCACGAAUAAUGCAAAAAUAUGAGACUCUAAGAAAAGAAAAGGAAUAAAAGAAUUAUACAAAUAUACAUGUCUUAAAGGAGUGCAUCAUGUCGGGUACGGGAGACUAAUGUUCGUGACUCAAUUUUCCCUUUAAUAGAGGGAAUACGAGCGUGCUAAGGCUAGAAAGCGAAACUCGUCCAUAUCCCAUAUUCAAGGGGUUAUCCCUAAUCUAAUCAAACAAAUGUACUAUCCUAAUUCUAAUUCUUAAAUGAAAUGCAAAUCUAAUGUUAUGUAUCACACAUAGGGGUAAGGAAUAUACAUAUAAGGGGAGCAUGGGGUAAGGUAUAUAUAUAUACAAGGGAAAUGUCAUGCAAAAAUGAUAAAAACCCUAAAAAUAGAAAAACAUGCAUGAGAUGAAGUGAUUUUAUCACACAAUCAUGAUCUAACGCUCGAAGGGCUCCUAAGGGUCUAGCGUUGGACUAGACCACAUCUACAAGUUCUCACCAGCGUUGGACUAGUGGAAAAUCGGAACAAAGAGUCACAACUAGCAUUGGACUAGUGUGGAUUCGAGAAAGGGGGUCACAUCUAGCGUUGGACUAGUGUGGUGACGACAUGCAUUUGUUACAAUCAAAUGAAUAUCAAAUAAAUCAUGUAAAACCUAAUAAAAGCAUGUGAACACAUAAUAUCACAUAAACACAUAACACAUAGUCAUGAUAUCUAGAUGCAAGACCCUAAGAAAGCGGUAACACAUAGCACAUAGUCAUGCAAAUCACACAAGUAAGAAAUAAAGCAAAUAAAGACCCUAACUAUUACAUUAGGGAGGCCCUACUACAAUCUAAGGGGGAAGAUGGAAGAUAAAUAAUUAAGCUAAAUACCUAACUAUUACAAUUUUGGCAUUUAAAUGCCUUUCAAAUAACCAAAACUAAAUUAAAAAAUAAAUAUACAAAAUUAAAACAAAUAAAGUGACUAAAUAAAUAAAUAAAAUAAAAAUAUUCAAAAAGCAUGCAAUUUCACACAUAAGUUCACAUAGGAGCACAUAGGAUCAAAUAAAGUAAGAAAUAAGGGAUAGGGUGUACCUCCCUUGAGUUGGGGCUCUAAUGGAGUGAAAUUACUUAUUUACCCUCCAAAAUAAUAAAAGGGUCAAGGCAUCACUUUAAUCAAUAAAUAUGAAAUUGAAUCAUUAAAAGCAUUUAAAUAACUAAACAGUCCAUAUUCACAAAAUUAGGAUCCAAUUGAAAGGAAAAGAAAGUUCAAGGGGGGGUCAAUUUGAUUGAUUUUUCACUUGUUUGGGCCAUAGUAGAACAAAAAGGGACUUGGAAGGUUAAGAGGCAAUUUUUGAAAGUUAUUUUUUCAUGCAAGUUCAUGCAACUACGUAGAAGCUUAAGCUUCUGCAUUUUUCCCAACACAAACUUCGGACUUCAGCACACCGCCUUUGAUCAAACUUUUCAGACUCCAAGCUAAACCAUGAAACACAUAACUACCACAAUCCGAACAAGCUAGAAACUUAUAAGGAAACCAAGCAUUCUUCCCCCCCUUUUGGAAUACAAAAUCCAGAAAAAGCAGGAACAUUCAAAUGCUAAAAAAAAAUUCCAGCAACUUGGGUCUAUUCUCCUGGUUCAUGUUUUAUGAUAUAACUUGGGAAAAAGAUUGAAACUACAAGCCAUGUUGACUUCAUGAAUGAAGCGUCAAAACAUGACUUUAGCUACCCAACUCUAGCCAACGAGACUUUUGAAAAACCAAAAACGUGAAGCAGGAGAGAAUACAAGUAAUGAAAAAGGAAACAUUUUUUGAUAUUUUGCACAGAAAAAAUUUCAAUGUUUACUCAUUACCUAAGUCCGAACCCAAAAUGCGAAAUCAGUGUUAUACCUUGAGCUAUUGCCUAUGAACCUCAAUUUCUGCAAACCAAAUCUUGCAGCCAAAAGAAAAUUUAAACAAAGAUGAAGUAGCUAAAGCUAUAAUACAAUGCCAUUAUUGCGGCCUGGCAUUAUGCCACACAUUUCUGCUUUUAAAUGGCAGCAAGCAUAUAUCAUAACUCACCAUUCAAUCGCACAAAUAGAUCUAAGACAACCAAUUCAGGCCAAAACAACCUCAAACAGGUUUUUGAGCAAUCAACAAAACUCCACCGAAACACAAGAAAACAGCUACUUGAGCAAAUAAACAAGCAGGAGCAAGGGGAAUGAAGACAGCAUAACAAAAGGCAGCAGGCAUAAAACGCAGCAGGCAACGUGAGGAUUUGCAGCAAUUCAUCAUACCAGUAACCAGGAGAUGAUUCAAUGCAUUUAAAAUGCAAGAACAUGAAACCAGGGAGAGGGGAGACAUCUAAUGAGCUUUCGGACACCGAUUCCCUACUCCAUAUCAUGUAAACAUCAGCUAACGGAUUCCCCUUCCUAUAGGAAACCCAUGAAACCCGUGCUAAUACCACCAAAACUCAGGUAAACACCAUACAUUUCCCACAGCAAGCAUUUUGCCACUAAAUUACAGUCUAGGAGCAGAUUAUAGAAAUAGCACCGAAUAAAACUUGGGCCGUAAACAGGCAUUAACAUUCUUUAGAUGCAAACAAGUAGCAAAAGGACACGGCUUUGGAUGGUAGAAUACAGCAAAAUGGCAAGGAAACAGCGAGAGAGGAACAUCAAAACAGAACCGCUCAAAGUUUCAUGCCCUUUUUUCUAGGUCUGCUAGUCAUACGCAUAAAGAUCAGCCAUAAAUACCAAACAAAAACCCCAUUAAAUUCAUCAUAGAACCCCAAACUCCUAUCCCUGAAACCCAGGUCUAACCCCAUGCAUUCUUCAGCCGUAAAACCAAAAAAACGAACAGGAACAAACGAGAAAUUCUGGACCGAAAAUACCUCAGAGAAAAUCUACCGGCGAUGAUGGCGGGCUAAAACGAUGGCAGUCGUGAAGGUUAAUGGCUCCAAUGGCACCCUUUGCUUCUUUCAGAAAUAGCACCGGACCUCUUUUCCUCCUCACUCUCUCUACCUUUUCUCGGUUGCUCCACUCAGCCGUCACCCCAUACUCUCUUUCUCUCCUUCGUAAACUUUCCUUUCCUCUCUUUUUAUCCGAUUUUUCUUUCUUUCUUACACUCUGACUCCGCCGCCGCUCUAUUUCUCUUGUUUCAGACUUCCUUCUAGCUCCCCCAAAAAUUUCAGAUCGUUCCCUCUUCUCGGCUUUUUGUUCUUUUCUUCUCCGCCUCCGCUCACUCUCGAUUUUUCCCCCCUCAAAACCUAGCCGCCCCUUAUCUCUCAGCCGUCAUCCUCUCUUCACUCUCUCUCUAUCUCCCAAACUCAGCCGCCUCCCCCUUCUUUUCCUCUAUUUUUCCUUCCUAAAACCCUAGCAUCCGUUCCUUUCUUUUUUCUUUUUGAUUUUCUUUUAUUUUCCAAUUGAUCCUAACACUACAAGUGUCUAGACACCUCACCCUCUAGGUAAUGUGUUGUCCAAGACAAAAAGGGACACUUGUCCCAAUGCAUGCCUCCCACUUGCCAUUUUUAUUGUUUUUUCCUUUUUUUUCUUUUUCCUUUUUUCCUUUUUCCUUUUCUUUUCCCUAAAAUUUAGUGUAAAAUACUCUUAAAUCGAUAAAAAUAAAAUGAGAGACACGAAACAUAAACAAAAAUAAAAUAAAAUAAAAUAAAAACCUAAAAUUGAAUCAAAUAAAUCUAAAAAUAAAAAAUUUAGUGUCUACACAAUCAAUUUAUGUCCCCAAGUUACAGGCAGAUAAAAGGAAAACCAAAUUUACGAGAGACGAUCACAAUGCUAAUUCAUUGAAAGCAGUGGUUCUUUGUGAUUUGGGAAAGGAUUCCCUACCUCAAAAUAUUUCUAAUCUUCCAUGCUCGAGCACUGAGACUUGUACUUUAGUUGAUCAAAAUCAAUGUUUUGACCAAGUAACGACAGUUGUAUUUAAUUUGGAAGAGCCGUCACACUUGAACCAAGAGGAUGUGGCUUCUAUGAGGUUGCAAAUAUAUGGAGUUAGAAAGACGGAUGUUACUAACCCGACAACUUGGGGGUUUUCGAUUGUGCCACCUUCAGAUUCACUGGUAACAAGACUGGUCUUAGCUCAAGAGUAGUUGGUUGAUGGUUCUUUCAUAGAUUUGGAUUUGGAUGAUGAGUUGACGCUAGAUGUUAAUAAUAAGUUUGCUCUAUUGGAAAGCUUGCCAGAUAGUAUAGGAGGUGAUUUGGCUCAUUCUUCUUUACUAUGUCAUCAACUUCCUCAGACAAAGUUUGCAGAUAAUUUAUAUGGACUAAUUAAUUCUUUACAUCAGUUGAAGGAGUUCCAACACAACCUUAGCACAAAACUACAAUCUUCAAAUUUUUUGAAGGAUAAUUGUCCUCGAUCAGCCCUCUUGGAUGAGAAAGGCAUCGCUUUGCUGAAUAAUCUUGUUAAAAAAGAAGCACAAUAAAGUUAAGAAACGUCUUGGUCGUCCUCUGAAAUCACGCAUUCAGUCUCGGAUUCCUAUUUCUAAAGCUAAGUAUUCCUUGUCUUCCCAUGAUAAAUCCAAUUAAUAUUACCAUCUAGAGUAUUCCCAUGUAUUCCUUGUCUUCCCGUGUUGAUUCCUUACAUUAUUUUCAUAAAGUUUGUUUGGAAAAUUCUACCUGAUUUUUGAUUCUUUUAGAGCCUCUGUCUAAUUUAGCUUAGUUGGAAGUAUCGGGCUGCAUCUUUUGUUCAAGAAAAUUUUCGAUUUUUUUGGUUUUAUGAAAUGGUUUUGAAUUUUUUUGAAUAUGUCAACCAGUUGGUCCAUGCAUCUGUCUCUUUUCAUUCUAGUGCAUCAUUUAUGUUUUUGGGGGUAUAUGUGAAGUGUGCUAGGGUUGGACGAUGGAGUGUGUGGGUGGCAAUAGAGUCUUUAGGCACAAACAUGCACCUACCCUGGAUGGAUGUAGGAGAUUUUAACGUUAUUUUGUCAGUGGGGGAAAGGGCUAGUGGUUCCCCUACCAGUGUUCAUAACAUGGAAGAGUUCAAAUCUAUGUUUAAUUGUGGUUUAUCAAUAGUUGAGUUUAUAGGCCAAUCGUUCAUUUGGACCAAUAGUACAAUUUGGCAAAGGUUGGAUAGAGCAUUAAUUAAUGCUAGAUGGAUGGAAUUUUAUCUGAUCAAUAAAGUUUUCCAUUUGGUAAGGGAACGGUCAUGCCAUUCUCCUUUGUUCAUGCACUGUGGGUCAGGAAGGCAACUCCAUUCUUCUUUUCGCUCCCUCAAUGUGUGGUGUAAUCAUCCAAAAUUUUGGAUGCUGUGGUAGAUGAAUGGAAGAAGCUUGUAUCUGGUAUAGGGAUGUUUGGUUUUUCUAGAAAAUUAAUGAUGGUUCACAAAAGGUUUGAGAGCUUGGAAUCGGGAAUCAUUUGGUAAUAUUUUCUUAAGAGUUAAAGUUACAAAAGAGACUUUUAAGUAGAGGGAAGUGGAGUUUGAUUUGAAUCGAGAUAAGCUAUCUAAGGUUCAUCUACAUGAACCUCAAACUUUAUAUUCUCAUGAACUUGUUGUUGAGUGUGCUUUCUGGCACCAAAAGGCUGGAGUUAAAUGGAUGAAAGAAAGGGACGUUAACACGGCUUAUUUUCAUGGCUUAUUAAAGCAAAGAUGAAACAAUGAUUUUAUCUCGCUGAUUAAGGAUGAUUCUGACUCUUGUUUGGAAUCUUUCGAUUUUAUUAAAACGUCGACAAUUGAUUUUUAUUCUAAGUUGUUUACUUUCAAAUGCUAGGUAUGUACUUCGUAACUCUCCUUUGAAGUUUCUUCUAUUUGGGAUGAGAAUAAUAUUAUGAUGAAGGAGAUUCCGACCGAGAGAUUCCGACCUUGGAGGAGCUUCAGUCGGUGGUUUUUUCUAUGGACGUUGAUAGUGCUCCAUGUCCUGAUGGCUUUGGUGCUAAUUUUUAUUAGUCUUGUUGGGAGAUUGUUAAAGAUGAUUUGUUAUUGGUGACCUAAGAUUUUUUUUGUAGUUGUUGAGUAGCUUAAGUGUUGGUCUAGUUCUCUCUUUGUUCUUCUUCCAAAGGUGGAAGGUGCUCAUCAAUGUAAGGACUUUAGACCAUUUAGUCUUUGCAAUGUGAGUUCAAAAAUUAUUUCAAAAAUUUUGGCAAAUUGGAUCAAUAAACUACUUCUGUCACUUAUUUCUCCAUGGCAGACAUGUUUUGUUCCAAGCAGGGGAAUUGGAUAAUAUGUUGUUAGCUCAGGAAUUGGUUUUGGACUUAGAUAGGGAAUUAUCAAAUCUGAAUUUGAUUCUUAAGUUCGAUGUGGAAAAGGCUUAUGAUCGCGUUGAGUGGCCUAUUUUUCUAUUCAUGUUACGGAGAUUUUAUUUUUUUGAAUUCAUGGUUGAUUUAUUUUUUCAAAUAUUUACUAACUCAUGGUUCUCCUUGUUGGUAAAUAGGGAACCUCCAGGCUUCCUUAAAUCUUCCAGAGAGGUUUGAUAGGGUGAUCUGUUAUCGCCAGCACUUUUUCUUUUUGUUGCUGAAUUUCUUGGUUAGGGUCUUCAUUAGCUUUUUUUGGAAGAUGAUCACCGGUUUUUUGUAUCAUUUGGUUCUCGGAUUCCAUAUCUAGCUUUUGCUGGUGAUACAAUUAUUUUCAUUGUUCGGAGGAUUGUUUGUAUGCUAUUUGGUACUUUUUAAACUUGUAUCAGUCUUUUUGGGAUAAAAAGUUAAUAUUACCAAGAGUUCCUUUUUAUCUUCAUUGAGAGCCUCAGAUGGACAUUUAUCUUUGGUUUCAUCGAUUCAUGGGUUUAGGGAGCAGCCUUUUCCCAUGCUUUAUUUGGGGGUUCCUUUGAUAAAAGGGAGAUUAGAAUGUGUCAUCUUUGAUGGUCUUGCUAAAUUGAGACAGCUUCAAUUCCAUUGGAGUUGAAAGCUACUUAGUAUGGGUCGAAAAAUCAUACUCAUUCAGCAUGUGUUGAGUUCUAUACCAUUGUAUUUAUUACAAAUGGUGCAUCCUCCAAAGGAUGUUCUAGUGGCUUUCGAGAGAAUAUGUAAUGUUUUUUUUGGGGGAUAAGAACAUUGAUGUUAAACGGACAUAUUGGGCUGCCUGAGAAAAAAUUGUGUUCUCCAGUACAAGAAAGUGGUUUGGGUUUUCGAUCUUUUGAGGACACCUUGAAAGCUUUUUCAUGUAAAUUGUAGUGGAGAUUGAGAAAAAAUGACUCUAUUUGGUCUGUUUCAUGCACCAAAAAUACAUCAAAGGGAUUCAUCCAUCUUUGGUGGUGGUUGAUAGACCUUUGGCUUCAUGGUGAAUGAUGGAAGAGAUUCGUGAUUUUGCUGAAAGUCGAAUUUGUUAGUCUCUAGGGGCAUGAUUGAUUGAUUUUUUGCAUGAUACUUGGUGUUUUGAUAAGCCUUUGGCUCAGAUUAUAGAUAAUUUGGAUAAACCUUAUGCUUUAAUAGGGGAAUUUUAUUCGUCGAAUGGUUGGAAUGAGUUGCAACUUCAUCAAUGGUUGUCACCAUCCCUAGUUGCUUGUAUAUUGGAGAUUCUAUUCCUUCUUGAGGUGCAUGAUCAAAUGAUUUGGUCCCCUUCUUCUACUGGUGAGUUCUUGGUGGCGUCCGCUUGAGAGAUGGUUCAGCAAAAACUGUGACGACCCCACUUCUCCUUAGGGCAAAUCCUAGGGUUUUGGUGGGCCGCCUGCCUAGCUCUCGCCAGGGCUCAAUACGAGUCAAAUUUAAAUUUAAAAGUAAUCAACCAAUAAUAAAAUCGAUAAAAAGAAAAGUCGCUUCCUUAUAUAAUCAUUCAAGUCUUACAUCACAGAGUUUCCAAAAGGUACAUCAAAUUUUUUCAAAACACAACCAUCCAAGGUUGACUAAACUAUUUACAUUCAAAUUCUAAUCAAAAGGUAAUCAAGUCAGUUUCUCCAAAAAUCUUUCCAUUCCGAGACCCUACUAAGGAAAACAAACUACGGGGGUGAGCUAACGCUCAGUGAAGCCAAGAAAAGCAUGCAAACACAUAAGUUCAAGUAACGAUAAUACAUGUACAAGAAAUAUAGCUAGAAAGUUCAAGUAAUUCACAAUUAACAAUAAAGCACACUCAAUAAUGAUACGGGAGCUCUCAGGAGCUAGAUUCCCCUUGCUUUGCCGAGGCUCGAUCUAAUACCUCCACGUGAUGACACUCCGUCAACCGGGUAGGUAUCAAGUCUGUAGAACUCCACUUACUUCCUCCAUCCUUCAUUUCACCCUCUCAGAUCCCUAACCAAACACUCACUGGGAGGGCAAUACUACUCGAGUAUGCCAAGUAACAUCUCAAAAGAUCAAUCUUAUGAUUUUCUCAUGGUUCACCAGGCUUCUCGACCAAGCCCAUACCGGCUUGAGUCGCAAGGUUAGCCAAUGAGUUUUGGGCGUCCCCAGAUGUACAAUUACACUUUGCCAAGUUCACGCAAUUCAAUUAUCAAUUCACUUCACACAAUUCAAUUGUCUAGUUAAGGACAAGAGAACGAGUGUGAUAAAGUACACACUCGUCUCGAUAAGUCCCAAUCACUUAAUGAAUAAGAAACAAUUCAAGUAUUUAGCAACAAUUCAUGCACUUGAAACUCACCAAUUCAAAAGCAAGUGAGCAAAUAAAGCCCUUCAGUUGUCCUCACCGGGAUCCCUUUCGAAACCCUAUUGAGCACUGAAGAAAUAGUGACCAACCAUCACUCACAUACACUCUAGACAACUUAACAUUCAAGGAAGAAAAUGCAUUUGCUUAACAUUUAAAACAAUGCCUUAAAAGAGCUUUAAUGCAUCGAAAUCGAGGUUCAAAAUGAAGAUUCAAAGUCACAAGGGAAACUUGUAUCCUCCAUGAAAUCAAGUUCAAAACAGACUAUCAAUCUCAAAAGGAAGUGGGAAGUUCAUAAAAGUUCAUUUCUUAAGAAAUCAGAAAAUUUCAGCUUUGUACGACCAUACUUGGAAAAUCAUAUCUUGAGUUUGGUAAGUCAAAAAAUUGGAAAAUUUACACCGUUGGAAACUAGAUUCAAAGUGCUAAAACUUUCCAGAAGACACUUUUCCUAGACUCCAACUAGAAAUCAUUCGAAUUUCAACUCAAAGUUGUUGUUUCAUGAAGACAGGGCAGAACCAGUUCUUGUUUUUCAGCAAAGUUUGAAAAUUCGGCAAAAUUCACAAGUAUUGAAUUAACCUCUGCAAUUUAUAACACAGAAAUAUUUUCACGUAAAGUUUCAAACACAACAAGCAGAAAUAAAUUUGGAUUUUUGAACAACAAGAUACAAUAGUUUGAAGAUGGCUGGAUUUCACAGCCUGUUCAACAAUUUUCCAGUUUCCAGCUUUGACACAAUUUUGAAAUUAGACCAUAUCUAACUCUACCCAAGUCCAAAUUGAGAAUGGUUUAUGGUGUUAGAAACUAGAUUCAAAAUUCUUCAAAUCAUCAGAAGACAUCGUUUUCAAACUCCUUUCACAAGUGAGAUGAAAAUGAGCCACAAAAUACAGUUUCACGGUUUCUCUCAGAUAAACAGGUAAAACAGGUCAGUCUACUUUGCUGAUUCAUUACGGCUCACUCAAAACGAAUUUUAGGGAAAUUUUAUACCGUUAGAAAGCUAUUGGUGUCUAUUUUCAAAUGCCACAAACGGAACUCGAUUUUGAAUUUUUUACAAAGAUUUAUACACAAACAAAGAAUCACUGGUCGACUGACCUGGGUAGCUUUUCCAGUUUUGAAGAGCAAUCUUUGGGGCAUUAUUUGGGCAUCGAAAUGGUAUUGUAAUUAUGCCAAAUUUGAUACACUUAAACUUCAAUAUAUGGACUACCUCUCUACCAAAAUUUAGGCAAAAACCCGCAUGGGGAGGUAGUUAAUAAAAUGACCAAAGUGUGUGAAAUUCUUUGAAGCAAAUCUGCCAACCCUAUCAUUCUUUCUUUUCCAAAAGUUUUGUCCAACGAAAACCAGCCCCAAUUUACUCCAUUUUUGAAACCAAGAUUCUAGCAACAUUUAUUGAGUGAUUGAUGGUUCAAUAGCACCAAAAUAUUUGGAACGAAACACCCCAAAACAGAUUUGACCAUUCGGUCAGCAGGGAAAGGAAAAUUUCUAGAUUUUUGGCCAAUUUUUCAUGCAUUUUUGAAGCACCAAAUGAAAGAGUUUUUGGCUAGAAAUUUGUCCACUUAAAGCUCAACAUAUCAGCUCUCAAAGUCACAAAAAUAUGGCAUCAAAAUAGAGUAACAAAACUCAAAAUUUCAGCCAGCACUUCUCCCUCUCCUCUCGGUUUCUCUCUUUCAUUUUUCUCUUCUAGUUCCUACCAUUAAAACUCAUCACAAACACACUAACACACAUAUAAACAUCAUGGCAGCCCUUAUUUAACCAAGGUGGGAGUUCAUAGAGUCCACUUCAACCAACCAAAUCCAACCAACAACAACAAGAAGGAAGCUACAAGCUUCAAAGCCAAGAAAUGAAACAAGAAAACAAGAAUUUUGGUGAGAGAUGAUGUGUAUACCUUCCAAACACAAGAUGAAGCCCUAGAUUUUUGGUGUGAGAAACUCCCCAAAACAGCCCCAUCCAGCCGGCCUCUCUUCUCUUCAAGAUGUCCUCAAGUACAAAGUUAAACUAGCAAGGAGUUGAAAGUUCUCUUGGGGAUUUUGGAUGGAAGAGUAAGAAGAACUUGGCGAGCAAGAAUGUAGAAGAAAUGGCCAAGGGAGGUUCAGCCAAGAGGGAAGAGAAAAGGGAGAGUUUUGAUUGGUAGGUGGUGAUGUGAGGUUGUGUAAGAAGGAUUUGACAUAAAGAUGUCUUGGUACACAAAAGUCAACAUCCAAUUAGUGAGCAAUUUGUGUUCCUAAUUGAGUUUAACUUAACUCACUCACAUCUAAUCCCUCAAUUAACUUUUCUUAGUCUACUAUUAAUCAUCUUUAGUUCUCCAAGGCUAAUAUACUCUUGGAUCGAAUUUGCCUCAAAAAAUGUGCAUUCACAUUUUCUCGCGAAACGAGCUGCAGAAAAAUUAAAUUUGCUAACGAAACGUUUUAGAAAUAUAAAUGAGAUAUUGUCCCAUGCAAAUGAAAUUAAAAUGGAUGAAAUAGAUUAAUUGGAGAAAAUGGAUAAUUAAAUAAUUAAAUAGGCCAGUAAAAUAAAAUAAAAGUAAGAAAAAUUCGGGUCCUCACAAAAACAAAAUUCUUCGUUGCUCCACAAAAUUGUUUGGAACUCUCUUGUUCCUCUAAAAGUUUCUUUCUCGGCUUGGCGCUUGUUGCGUCGUUGGGUUCCUAUUGAUGAUUUAAUGCUAAGAAAAGGCAUAGUUCUAGCGUCGAGGUGCUACUGUUGUCGUGUACAUUUUGAAACAAUUGAGCACUUGUUUGUAACUAGUUCUCUAGCUUCAGAAUUAUAGCAGUUUUUUGCACGCCAAUUUGGUAUAUUGGAGUUGCGAGUUAGAGGAAUUUCAUCUAUGUUACUUUCAUGGCUCGCCUCGCUCCAAUUAGUGACAGCAAACCAUAUCAGAGAUAUAACUCCUUUGCUUUUUUUGUGGUUUAUACGGAAGGGUCAUAACCAGGCACGUUUUCAGGGGGAACCCUUUUCUGCCUUUAAUGUUAUUUUUCAAGUGGAUUAGUUUAUUAUGCAAAUAGAGGCAAACAAAUGCCUUCAUUUCAGUGGCGGAGCCAGAAAAAAUUCUUAGUGGGGGCAAAAGCAACACUAAAAUUUUUUACCUACUCUUUUUCUAGUUUUUUAAGAAAAAAAAAAAAAAAAAUCACCAACAAGUACAAAUAAUGCAUAUAUUCCAUGAAAAACAUAAACAAACAAAUUCAAAAUUAUUAAUGUAAUAAUAAUUUUAUUUCAAAAAUAAACUAAACUAUUUAUAAUUGCUCAUUGCGAGUUUUUAUAUUUUAAUAACUAACUUGGUUGUGGAAAUAAGAAUGGCUCUCGGUUGUGGAGGGAAAAUGGGGGACCAAUGGAGGGAAGGGAAAUUGGGAAGUGGGGACAAAUGAAGUGAAUGAUAUGAUUGGAUGAAUUGAUCAAGAGAAAAAGUAGCUAGCUGCUUGGUUGUGGAAGGUAGUGGCUCUCGGUUGUGGGGAAAAAAUGGGGACCAGAAGAGAGAAGGGAAAUUGGGGAGUGGGGUCCAAAGAAAGUGAAUGAUAUGAUUGGCACUUGCUAAUUGAAAUGAAAAGGUUUUUUUUAUCUUUUUUCAAAUGGAAUUUGUACCCCACGUAUCUGUUUAGAAUUUUAGUUUAUGAACAAACUUAAAAAAUUACGUAAUUCUUUCACAUCCUUUCUAAGAAAACUCUGGGGCACACUUAAAAUUAUAUCAAAAUUAUAUAAGUAUUAUAAGAAUUUAAGAGGGGCAGUGGGGGCCCGUGCCCCCACCUUAAAUCCGCCCCUGCUUCAUUUGAUGUAUUUUAGAGGUGACUUUGAUCACCGGUGCAGUCGCCUGGUUUAUCGUUUACACAAGAAGAGUCGGUGGUGGCCGGUGUGUGAGAAACUAUCACAUAACUAUUUUAAGUUGAACACGGAUGCUAGUGUGAUCUUUGCAUGGGCAUUUGGGGGAGGGAUUUUACGGACUCAUAAUGGUAAGUUAGUUUUUGCAUUUUAUAAGGAAUUUGGGGAGGUCGACGUGUUGAUAUUUGAGGCUUUAUCGCUAUUAUGGGGGCUAAAACUUUGCCAGGAAAGAGGUGUUAGAGAGUUCACGAUGAAGACUGAUUCAAGUUCUUGUUUUCUUAGUUAAAUCUAAGUUUCUUGGUAAGUGGUGUUUGUAUAAUACAUUUUCUGUUGCAUGGUUUGAGAGCUUCAUUGACUCAUUUUUAGAGAAGCAAAUUCUAUUGUUGAUGCACUGGCUUUGAUGAGUUUGGAUUCGAAUAUGGUCUUCAAUGCAGCCGAGUCUCUUCCUUUAAGGAUGAGGUUGGCAAUGCAACUAGAUAGGCUAUCAAUACCUUUUGUUUGGCGUCGCGUUUCUAAGAAGUUUUAAAUUUGUUGGUUUUUUCUUGUAUUCUUGAGGUUUGGUUUGACCCCCUCAAACUCUUUGUAAGUUUUUAUUUUAUCUAGUGAAAUGGAGGAGUGGCACCCUCCAUCAUAGGGGUGGGCGCUGGUCGGGUACCCGCGCCAUUCACCAUUUGGUUGACCCAACCCGUACCUUGCAGGUCAGCCAUUUUCUGACCCUUACCCGCCCCGCAUAUCAGCGGGUACCCGCCCCGUCCGAUUUAUCAUUUAAUUUUUUUAAAAAAUAAUUUAUACCAAUUUAAUUUUAUAUUAUACACAUUCAUCUAAGGUUUAAUAAAAUUUUUUUCUAAAAAAGGUUCCCACCAAGAAACAAGCAUGUAAAGAGAAUAUAAGGUAAAGAAAAAAAAUUAAAAGAAUUCAAAAUCAAUAAAAGUUUGAAAUAAGUAGCACAAUGUUUAAUAUAUAUGUUUCACAUUAAUUAAACUUUUUUCUAUAAAAUAUAAGAUCAUAGCCUCUACAAAUGAAUCUUGUAAAUAAACUAUAGUCUUUCAUAUUUAUAAUACAAUUUGUUCAAUCAAAUUAAACUUAUUAUUUUAUAGUGUAUGUAUAGAAAUAAAAAUAAAAAAAAUUAAAAAAUAUAUAUGCGGGGUGGAUCAGGUACCUGCGGGUUUUUAAUUAUAUGACCCUAACCCGCCCCGCAUCUUAGCAGGUACCUGACCCUCCUUUGACCCGAUCAAAUAACAAAAAUUGGAUAUUCUAAUUUUAGGAUCGGAUCGGAACGGAUAUGAUGGAUUUUCGGGUUAGCGGAUAAUUUUGCCCACCCCUACUCCAUCACACAUAUUAACUUUACUUGGUGUCUUAUUUUUUUUAUUAAGAAAUCUAAAAACCUCACAGCUUCGUCCAUUUAAUAGAAAUUAAUUUACCACCCACACUUUAAUCAUCCAAUUACACACAUUGAACAAAUCUAUUGCUACUUCUUUCUCCAUUUUUUCACCAUUAACAGUUUCUAAGUAGUGGAAGCAAAAACACAUCGCUUUCUUAGGUUGCUUAACAGUUUAACUCUAAAAUCAUAUUUUCACCUAUUUCUAUACAAAAACUUUUGUUUUCUAUAUCUAUUGCUUUUUGCAAAAAAAAAAAAUUUACUGACUGCAUGAUGAUAAAUAUAAGAUUUCUCCUUCAUAGGCAUUCGUUUGCCAUAGACUUUCUUUCUACUCUUUUUUUUAAUAUGAAUUUGCAACUCUAAAAUGAAUAAACAAUAGCAUGAGGAACAUAAAUACUCUAAUUUUAAUUAGUUCUUUUGCUGACACUCAAGGAAUUGCUUGUUGAUUUUUUUUUUUUUUGCAAUAUAAUGAAUCUUUUUUUUUUCAAAAUAGCCUAAUUUUUUAUUCAAAAACAAUAGCGUACAUCAGGUGGGGCACCCUAAGUCAAGCGUACAUAGGGCGUCUGUAUCCUGUCUAGGUGGGCUAAUCCCUUUAUACAUUCUAGAAGUGGGGUGGGAGGGAACCUUUGACUAAUAUGUGUGGAGCUUGCUAGGUGAGCUAGGGCAUCCGCAACUGCAUUUGCUUCUCUAUAGGUAUGAGCAAAUGAAACCUGGCGAUCUAUCGCUAAAGCCUUGAUGCGUGAGACAGUCUUCCAUAGCUUCCAAGGGACUCCGUCGUUGCCUGUCACCAUGUUCAGCAAAACCUGAGAGUCCAUUUCAAUGUGCAAACAGGGGAUAUCCGCUGAGGCGCGCAUGCCUUCCAGUAGCGCCAAGGCCUCUGCUUCCAUAUUUGUCAUGGGCCCUAAGAACAAUGAGAAGGCACUCAAGAUAUGACCCUCGGGGUCGCGGAGUACCCCUCCGGCUCCUGAGUCUCCUGGAUUCCCUAAGGAUGAGCCAUCAAUAUUUAACUUGACAUACCCGGGCGGCGGCCGCGUCCAUGUGACCCAGCACAGGAGGGGUCGCUCCAUCGGUGUCAUGUUAAUAGAUAAGCCCGAGAGGACCAACUCCCUAUCGUCCUGCAUCGCCAGGAUGAAGGGGCGGACCUUGGACAUGCCGAGCAGCAAAGCUUUGAUGUUCCAACAUAGUCAGGACGGCGUUGCAACAAUCCCCUCGUACAUUGCCAUGUUUCUGGCCUUCCCUAGUUCCCAACAUAUAAGGGGUGGCAACACCCUACACAACUCACCCCGCGCAGUACUAGGAGACCUGUAGAGCCACCACUGCUGCAAGCGACAGAUGACACCAUUGGGAGGUCUAAUGGGCAGCUGAAGGACCUUAGAGAAAUAGUUCCACACCUCAGUAGCAAGGGGACAGUCGUAGAAGACGUGGUCCAGGGUCUCCCCAUCCGGGCAGAAAUGACACUUGGAGGGGAGCUGGAAACCAAGCCUGCGUAAAGCUUCAAGGAAAGGCAAAUAGUUGUUAAGCAGCUUCCACAUAAAAAUGGCGAUUUUGCACGGUAUGCGACAACUCCAGACGCACCUCCGUGACCCUAGAUAGGCUUGUUUAGGCCAUAGUGCAUCCCAUGUAGAGGAGACUGUAAAAUCUCCGGAGGGCGUAAGAACCCAAGCUCGUCGAAUGCCACAGUCUAGCUCGAUAUCUUGUGUGAAUUGGUCCACCGUGUCCCGAACAGCCAGCAUCCUUUUCUAAACUCGUGAAACCGUAAGCUGGACACCACCGUCCAUGGGGUAACGAGACCUCAUAUAAUCGGCCCACAGGGAAGCUGAGUUACAAAACCUCCACCACAAUUUGCAGCUGAAUGCCCCUAGUAUGUCUUCCAAAGAACACACCCCAAGUCCGUUCUCAUUCACCAGAUAACAUAAGUUCCUCCAGGAGCACCAAUGAUGCUUAGGACCCAACUCCGAUUGUCCCCAAAAGAAAUUUACCAUGAGGCCUUCGAGGCAUUUGAGCAGCCCCUUGGGGGGAUCCAUGACCGCCAGCACUUGCGAUGGGAUGGCUGAGAGAACAUGUUUGAUCAGGAUCAAGCGACCACCGGGCGAAAGGAACUUUGUUUGCCAGGCCGCUAGCUUAGCAAUGAAUUUGUCGACCAGGAACUGGAAGUAUUCCUUUUUCCUGUGGCCAACAAACAGGUUGCAUCCCAAAUAGGUGAAAGGGAAAGUACCCUGUUUGAAGCCGGUCAAGUGUUGGAUGUGACGUAUUUGGCCCGUGCUACACCGCCUGGAUGCUAUGAAGAAACUCUUUUGCUUGUUAAUCCAUUGUCCCGCCCCUUCUUGGUAGAGUGUUAAAAAAUGGACCAGAUUCACCAUAGAGCGCCUAUCCCCCCGAGCAAAAAUCACAACAUCGUCCGCAAAGGACAAGUGCGUGAUACGAAUGCCGCCCUUUGGCAGUGCAUAGUGGGCAAUCCUGCCAUCCGUUGCCUGUGCUUUUAAUCCCCUACUAAGGGCCUCAGAUGUAAGGAUGAAAAGGAUAGGGGACAGGGGAUCACCUUGCUUAAUCCCACGUGAGGCCUGAAAGAAACCCCUGGACCUGCCAUUCACUAGCACAGAAAACCAACUCUGAGAGAGGUUAUUCAAAACUAGCAAAAUAAACCGAUAACCAAAACCAAACUUCUGGAGCAGGCGCCAUAGGAAGCACCACGACACUCUGUCGAAAGCCUUCAUCAUGUCCAAUUUGAAAAUGCAAUUAUGCUCGUGGGCUUUCUUAUCAAUGGACGCCACCAUUUCCUGGGCCAGGAGUACAUUUUCAGCUAUAUCACGGCCUGGAUAGAACGCAGAUUGCUCCGGGGAUAUAAUGCUUUGGAGGAUAGGGCGCAACCUAUUAGCCAACACUUUCGUAAAAACUUUGUUGACGAAAGUGCACAGGCUAAUGGGUCAAAAAUCCGCAAAGGUAGUUGGAUUUGGCUUCUUUGGGAGCAGAACAAUUAGCGUACUAGCAAUGCCCUUCGGGAUCAUGGUCCCAGCCAAAAGUCCCUGGCCGCUGCCAAGACAUCAGGGGCCACAGUAUCCCAGCAAUGUCGGAAGAAAAUACCAGUGUAACCAUCUGCACCCAGGGCACUAUCCUUGUCGAGGUUGAAAACAACCCCCUUUAGCUCUUCUAGUGUUAUCUCCCAUAGAAAGUCCGCAUUCUGGUCCUCGGAUACAAUUUCCGGUAUGUAGGCUAGCAAUUCAUCUACAUCGCUGACGUCCUCAGCAGUCAAGAGACGCUGGAAGAAGUUGACCGCCUCUUGUGCAAUCUGCUCCUCAGCCUCAGCCCAUGCCCCCUCUCAUUUUUAAUGCAGUGUAUAGUCAGUUUUGAGUGCUUCUCCUGAACAGAGGCAUGAAAGAACCGUGUGUUGCAAUCACCAUUCUUCAGCCACCGUAAGCGCGCCUUUUGGCGCCAGUAAUCCUCUUCAACACGUAGGCUGUGCAAUAGGAGAGCUUGCGCACGGUGGAGUUCAGCCCUAGUCUCAGCCGUAGGGUUGGCUUCAUACAGGACUUCCUUUUGCUGAACCUCGAUCUCGUGUUGCUGAGCAGUUUGGAAGAUAUCUCCAAAGUGUUAUUUGCUUCAAAGGCGCAAGCACACCUUUAGUCGCUUGAGUUUGAACGCUAAACGGUACAUGCCAUAUCCGUCUGCAGACAAGGCCCAGUUGCUCUGGACCACAUAUCAGAAGUCAGGGUCCGAGAUCCAAAAAGCUUGAAACUUGAAGGACUUCAGGACGCUUGAACUAGCAGGCUGCAGGGUCACCAGGAGCGGGGAGUGGUCCGAAGUGGCUCGAUUGAGAUGUUGGACAGAAGUAUUGGGCAAGAAACUGAGCCACUGGUGAUUCGCUAAUACCCUAUCCAGUCGUUUCCAGACUCUAGCACCUGCUCUAAUACCCGACCACGUGUAGGGACUGUCGGAGUAAGGAACCUCCUGGAGGUGGUAGUCAGAAAUUGCCGUAUUAAAGUCAGAAAUUGCCCCAAGAUCUUGGGCUGCCCUUCCGGCAUAUUCCGCCAGUGUGCUGAUAACAUUGAAAUACCCACCUACUAACCACGGCCUUGUGACCGAUCCAGUGAUAGAGCUCAAUUCGGACCUUAGGGAGUGCCUGUCGACCCUAGUGCACUUGGCAUAUAUAAAUGACAUAUUGACAGUUUCUAUCCAAGAAUCAAAUCCCACCAUAACGUGAAGCAUUUGGUCCGAAUUAUGCAAGACAUUAAAAUAAAAACCAGCACGCCAAAACAUCCAGACCUUAUUUGAUGAGUUAAGUAAGCAAAGUUCAAAAGACAACUUCACAUGCAAAACCUCUAUGUUAGACGCUGUGACGACCCCACUUCCCCCUAAGGCGAACCAAAGGGUUCGGCGGCCGCCUGCCCAGCUCUCGCCGGGACUCACUACAAAACUCAAGCAUGAAUAUAAUCGAUGGUUCUUAAAAGCUCAAACGGAGUAUAAUAUAUCCACCAGUCCAACACACCAAAGUACAAGUCCAAUACUUCAUCUAAAUUGUCGUACUAAUAACUUAAGUACAAUCCUUAUGUUUGCAAUUCAAAUCAUUCUUACAAAAGUAUAAUCCCCAAAAUAUCAUGAGAUUUACAUUCACUUCAACCACAAGUACAUCAUACCAAAAAGUUUCACAAAUCUUUCAAAACAACCAUUACACUUCACGAAGAAAAUCAAUCACAAUCCAGAUAAAGGAUAAUCCACGGUACUCCAAAUCCUUGCGCUUGAGUAACUAUCCUUCUCGAGCCCUGCAUAGAACUAAAAUAUUUUUGGGGGUGAGCUAAAGCUCAAUGAGGUUUCAAAAGGGAAAAUCAAGUAUUUAUAAACCAGUGCGUAAGCGUUACUUUGGAAACACAUGUAGAAGUAAUACUUUUGUUGGCAACUUUGUUCUGAGUACAACUCAUAAAUCAUUUAAAAACCACUAACGUACAUUUGGAAUGCAUGAUCACAUAAAUAUAUUUUCAUGAAUUUUAGUCAAACAAAUAGUGGCUCGUCCGACUAGAAGAACAUUACAAGGAUUGCUUCGUCUCAGAGAUUAAUGCUCAUGAGGAGUCUUACCCGAGAAAUGUCAACUAGGAGAGCAAUAACAGUAUUAAUAGUAAAGCAAACACAAAAGGAUACAAUACUCGGUCCACUUCCGUCCUUAUAACUCCCGUUGGUAACUCCUUCGGUUGACUGGCCAUCACCUUAUCCCUCCAGUGGUAAUACUCGAGUAUACCAAAAUACAGUGCCCAGGGUUAUCAACCUAUCCGACCGAGUCCGCUUCUGGCUCGAAUAGGUGAUAACGAAGGGGAAGACUCCUCAUGAGCAUUAAUCUCUGAGACGAAGCAAUCCUUGUAAUGUUCUUCUAGUCGGACGAGCCACUAUUUGUUUGACUAAAAUUCAUGAAAAUAUAUUUAUGUGAUCAUGCAUUCCAAAUGUACGUUAGUGGUUUUUAAAUGAUUUAUGAGUUGUACUCAGAACAAAGUUGCCAACAAAAAUAUUACUUCUACAUGUGUUUCCAAAGUAACGCUUACGCACUGGUUUAUAAAUACUUGAUUUUCCCUUUUGAAACCUCAUUGAGCUUUAGCUCACCCCCAAAAAUAUUUUAGUUCUAUGCAGGGCUCGAGAAGGAUAGUUACUCAAGCGCAAGGAUUUGGAGUACCGUGGAUUAUCCUUUAUCUGGAUUGUGAUUGAUUUUCUUCGUGAAGUGUAAUGGUUGUUUUGAAAGAUUUGUGAAACUUUUUGGUAUGAUGUACUUGUGGUUGAAGUGAAUGUAAAUCUCAUGAUAUUUUGGGGAUUAUACUUUUGCAAGAAUGAUUUGAAUUGCAAACAUAAGGAUUGUACUUAAGUUAUUAGUACGACAAUUUAGAUGAAGUAUUGGACUUGUACUUUGGUGUGUUGGACUGGUGGAUAUAUUAUACUCCGUUUGAGCUUUUAAGAACCAUCGAUUAUAUUCAUGCUUGAGUUUUGUAGUGAGUCCCGGCGAGAGCUGGGCAGGCGGCCGCCGAACCCUUUGGUUCGCCUUAGGGGGAAGUGGGGUCGUCACAGGUGGUAUCAGAGCUUAGUCUUCAGAUCUUUGUAGUGUAUCCUAGGCUUUAAGUAUAGGAUGCCGGACUGUGGAGUUUGAUUGUCUAGCAAGUGGAAUGUGAUCCUAGUACUUGAUGAUUGAUUGAGUAAUAUUGAAGUGCUUGUUUUUAAGUGGGUUUGCACACUAGGGUUUCUUAUAUUAUAGGAAACUGAAGAGAAUUGUGUGAGAUUGAUUUGAAAAGUGAUAGUUGAGUUUCUUGAACAUUGGUACUAGUGAUAUCUAUAUGAUCGAAUUUGACUAGGUAAAUCGUAAGUUUCGAGGUAUCCUCUAGGCUUGUAAUCUUCAUAAGUAUACGUAUAAAAGUGAAUGUGAAUCUUGGAUCGAUUGCUUGAGUGAGACCUGUGACAGCCCCACCUUCCCCUAAGGCGAACCAAAGGGGUUAGCGGACUGCCUGCCCAGCUCUCGCCAGGACUACGGUACAGUUAACGUCGUUCUAUAACGUUCCGGAACAUACCAUUGCGCGCAAACAAGUCAGAAAACACAAAAUAAAAAAAAAACGAAAAUUGAAAACCGAAAUGAAUAGUGCUGGACACGCCAGAAUCCGGCCGGAAUCUGGCCGGAUUAGAGGCCGGAUUCUUGGCCGGAUACUGUCCAGUAAGCAUCUCGAAUUUUUUUCAAAAGUUCCACCCAAUCCGGCCGGCAAUCCGGCCAAUAUUCCGGCCGGAUUGUCUGGCCGGAUACCGGCCAGUGAGCAACUGGCCGGGUUUCCAAUUUUUCUCAAUCAAUCCGGCCUUCAAUCCGGCCAGAUUCUGGCCGGAUUCCUGGCCGGAUUCAGGCCAGUGAGCUUUUGCCAAAAAUUUUUUUCUUUUGCCGUUUGAAAGCCGAUUCGCUCCGAAGUUCAUCCAAACAUCAAUUCAACAUAUAAACAUAUAUAUACAAUGGAAAUCAUCAUUUACAUCCAUAAUGGCAUGCCAACCAUUCAUUAAGGAGUACACAUUCGAUUUGCCUAUCAAAAGGAAAUGAACCCGUUACAUUAGGGUUUCACUUCGAGAGCGAUACAAAAGACAUGUACAAGCUCAGUAUGGCAAUUGACUAUCCAGUCCAUUUUCAAAAGCAUUUAUAUUCCUGUAAGGAAAACAAAUAACACGGAAUGAGCCAAGGCCCAGUGGUAUACCACCCAAUAAGCAAUCAAAGUCAUAUAAGAAUGAACCUUCAUUUAAAGUGCACAACUAAGCAAUGAAGCAAAAUGGUAAAAGGAUACGGUCGGCUCUCAAGAGCCCAUUUCCACGCUUGCAAUCUUGAACCAAUCUCAUUGACUCUCCGUCAAUGUUAAAAUACCAAACCGUAGACAACUCUUUACUUCCAUUCCUUCCACCCAACAUACCCCAACCGGGCCCGCACUCCAUUUCAGUAGCUUUUGGUAAUACUCGAGUUUACCGGAACCAAGGGUCUCAUUACCACAAGGUUCCCCAGUACAGUCCCCGUGGCAAUUCAAUCUUCACGACCAAGCCCUCGCCGGCUCGAUCCAAUUGACUACCAAACGGAGUUGAGCUCAGUAAUGCAGUAUGGCCGUUGGACAUCGUCCAAACGACAUCAAUUCGGUUUCCAUGAAAUGGAAUUUACCAACCAAUAUAUCAAGUCCAGUAAUGCAAUAAAACGGUAACCAAUCAGUGACAAUAACAAAAGAGGUGAGGGCGGUCAAGUACACCCUCACCUUGAUCAAUUUCAAUAUCCAAGUAGGCCAUUAAGGCAUCACAUAACAUUUAACAAAGCCACAUAGUAAUCCAUCAAGUGAGUAGUAUACUCACCAAGUAAGAAAAUGGUGUUUCAUACACCGUGAUCACCAAGACGCCGUGAGCUACCGUCACGCCCUAGAAUCACACAACAAAUGCAAUGAGACUCGAGAACGAGUCAUCAAACAAUACUAAACACAACCCCAAUAGGGUUUCACAUGCAUAAGUAGGCAUGAUAGCAAACCAGAAAUUAAUAUAUGGCCUUAACUUAAGCCUCGAUAGAAAAACCGUGUUUGAGCUUAGAAUGCGGUAAUGGCGUAAAUUUCACUACGGUUAUCGGUUGGGGGUGUAAGACCCACCGUUUCGAAGCUAUGAAACAGGGCUACAACAAUGUAGAAGGGCACUCAAUCCAGUUCGUAGCACAACUAGGUCAAAAUGCCAAAAUACUAGCCCAGAAUUCCAAAACAGGUUUGCAAAACACAGAAAACUGUAAUCGGUAUAUCUCAGUCCUUACAAGUCCAAAUGCCGAAAUUCCAAAGGCAUAUGUUAGCUAAGACACUCAGCUACAUUUCAUCAGAAGACACCAACUGCAAAAUCCAAACCAAAACCAGUCAAAAUGGCCAAUUACUAACGCAGUUUUCGCAUUCUGUCCAAAGCAGAACAGCUACAGUAAUUUCGUCAUAACUCAUUCUACACUAAUCCAAAUGACCUGAAAUUUUACAGGCAUCUCCAUCACAUCAAUACCUACAACUUUCAUGUUUUGAGCAAAGUCUAAUUCGGCCUCUAACCUAGUAAUCUAAAACCGGACAGAAUUGGGGACUUUCAAACCCUAACUUGCCAAUUUUCCAUCCAAAUCCAAAAUUAGUUGCAUUUAACCACAUUUCACAUCCACUAGAGCCAUAAUAGUCCAUUGCCAAUCAUCACAAACAACCACACCAUCAUAAUCCAAUUAAACCAGAAAAAUUCCCAAUAAAAUAAAAACUUCACCAUAACAAGCCAAACCAAGAGAUAAACCACAUUUUCAACCACUUAAGCCACUUCUAAGCAUCAUGUAACCAUUAUUGAAGGUAGUAGGGUGUUCAAGCAACACUUACCAAGAGAUCAAGAGAGAGAGGGAUGUAGGACACCUUUGCUCUUCAAACAAAGUUCACCAAACAACUUGCUAGCACUAGAAGGAAGAAAUUUAUGGAGUAAAAACUAAGUUAAGCAAGUGGUUUAGUUGAUUUGAGCUUGGAGUUGGCUAGAAUAUUGAAGAGUUUUGUCUUUCUUCUUGCUUAGGGAGGGCCGGCCAUGGAGGAAGAAAAUGAGAGAAUUUUUGGUGAAUUUUUUUGAAGAUAUUUACUUAUUUGGGUCAAAAGUCAAAAAAAAUGUCAAAAGGUGAAUAGUAACUCUUAAAGUAAGACUAAUGACAUGGUGACAAGUGGCACUACAUUAAAUGCAAUCUUAUCAUUUCUUUUCUCUCUCACAUCAAUCACUUCACACACACUACUUAUCUCUUAACACCCGAUAAAUUUUAAACAGUAUCCGAAACUUAACCUUAUUGGCCGAAUUUUUCCAAACUUUUCGCACUAGUGGGUCCCACGUCCAUUAUUUAUCCUUAAUUUUCUAAAAACUCGCCAAUGCUAGAAAAAUCAUCUUAAAACUAUAAUUGCUCAUAAAAUCCUCUCAGAAAAUAUUUCUAAGCCAGAAAAUGCAAAAUUAUGCAAUUAAAGGGGAAUAAACCCUAGGAAAAUAAUUAGGGUUUUACGGGCUCUCACACUCUCCCCCCUUAAAAGAAUUUCGUCCUCGAAAUUUCUCACCUUAAUUCCCGAAAAGGUUUGGGUAUUUCUUUCGCAUUUCCUCUUCCAUCUCCCAAGUAGCUUCCUCCACUCCGUGGUUUUUCCAUAGCACUUUCACUAGCGGAAUCUUCUUGUUUCUGAGCUCUUUGACUUUUCGAUCGAGUACUUGAACCGGUUUCUCUUCGUAGGCCAGUGAUUCAUCUACUUCGAUAUCCUCCGGUUGUAAAACAUGAGAUGGGUCAGGAUGGUACUUCUUUAGCAUCGAGACGUGAAAUACAUCGUGGAUUCGAGAUAGACUGGAUGGCAGUUCCAAUCGAUACGCGACCGCUCCAACCCUCUGAAGGAUUUUGUAGGGUCCGACGUACCGCGGUUGAAGUUUCUUUCCUUUGCCCGUUGUAAGACUUCGUAAAGGUGUGAUUUUUAGAAACACAUGGUCUCCAACUUCAAAUUCCAAAUCUUUUCUUCGAUUAUCCGCGUAGCUCUUUUGGCGACUUUGAGCGGUUUGGAUCCGUUGCCUUAUCAACUUGACCUUCUCUUGAGCCUCUUCCAUCCAUGGAAUGGUUGCCGGAUCUAGUGCCUUCUUUUCACCAACUUCAUCCCAGUAAAUCGGUGAGCGGCAUUUGCGUCCGUAGAGAGCUUCAUACGGAGCCAUUUGAAUUGACGAAUGGAAGCUAUUGUUAUAUGCAAAUUCGACUAAGGUCAUGUGCUGACCCCAAUUGCCUCCAAAGUCCAGAAUGCACGUUCGUAGCAUGUCCUCGAGCGUCUGAAUUGUUCGUUCCGACUGGCCAUCCGUCUGAGGGUGGUAGGUCGUGCUCAAAUUAAGUUUAGUCCCCAGGGUUUCUUGAAAUUUCUGCCAAAACCGUGAUACAAAUCGUGGAUCCCGAUCGGAAACAAUACUCACAGGUACACCGUGUAGUCUUACAACCUCAUCCAUGUAUAGUCGAGCCAACUUGUCCAUUGAAUACUUCAUGUUCACCGGCAAGAAAUGGGCUGACUUGGUUAAUCGAUCAACGAUCACCCAAACGGCAUCGUGUCCUCUUUGCGUCCUUGGUAAACCUGAAACGAAGUCCAUGGUAAUGUUUUCCCACUUCCACUCGGGUAUCUCCAAGGGUUGUAACAGACCCGAUGGUUUUUGAUGCUCUGCCUUCACUUGCUGGCAAAUGAGACAUUUUUGUACAUAUUGCGCGAUUUCCUUUUUCAUAUUGUCCCACCAAUAGGUUCCUUUCAGGUCUUGAUACAUCUUGCUGCUACCCGGAUGAAUUGUGUACUUAGAUCUAUGAGCUUCCUCCAGAAUUUCUGCUUUCAAUGCCUCAUCCUUUGGUACCACCACUCGGUUUCGGUACUUUAAAAUACCCUCAGGACUCAAAUUGAAGUCCGUAGUUUCUCCCUUAUCCACUUUCUCUUUCCAUUUCUGUACCAUCAAAUCUUCUUUUUGUGCCUCUUUAAUACGUUCCAGUAGAGUGGAGGUAACCCUAACAUUGCCAAAUAUCACCUUAUGGCUCCCUAGACAGGGUUUCCACUCGCACACGGAUUCUAGCAAACCCCACUCCUUAAUCAUUAGCCCUGCUACUUGCACCUUACGACUCAAGGCAUCUGCUACCACAUUUGCCUUUCCCGGAUGGUAAUUGAUCGUACAGUCGUAAUCUUCCAGGAACUCCAUCCACCUUCGUUGCCUCAUGUUUAAUUCCUUCUGGGAGAAAAGAUAUCUAAGACUUUUGUGAUCCGAAAACACUUCGAAGGUCACCCCGUAUAGGUAAUGCCUCCACUUUUUCAGAGCAAACACCACUGCAGCUAGUUCCAGGUCAUGAGUCGGAUAGUUCUGCUCGUGAAGCUUCAAUUUCCUAGAGGCAAAAGCAAUCACAUUCCGGUUCUGCAUCAAAACACAUCCCAAUCCCUCUCGCGACGCGUCCGCAUACACCGCAAACCCGUCCACUCCAUUUGGCAACACUAGGACCGGAGCCAUGGUCAAUCUUUUCUUUAACUCCUGAAAACUUGUUUCGCAUCGGCCGUUCCAGAUAAACUGGCCAUGCUUCUUUGUCAAGUUAGUUAAAGGUCCUGCCAGUUUGGAAAAAUCUUUAAUAAACCGUCGGUAGUACCCAGCUAGCCCUAGAAAGCUGCGAAUCUCCGUGGGAGUUUCUGGCCUCUUCCAAUUUGUCACGGCCUCAACCUUCGCCGGGUCCACCGAAAUACCUUCAUGAGAGAUCACGUGCCCUAGAAAUGCCACUUUCUCCAACCAGAACUCGCAUUUGCUAAACUUGGCGUAUAGCUGAUGUUCCCUCAAGGUCUGCAACACCACUCUCAAAUGUUUCUCAUGCUCCUCACGUGACUUAGAGUAGACCAAAAUGUCGUCAAUGAACACCACGACAAACCGGUCUAGAUAGGGUUUAAAAACCCUAUGCAUUAGGUCCAUGAAGGCGGCGGGAGCAUUAGUCAAUCCAAAGGGCAUAACGGCGAACUCGUAAUGCCCGUAUCUCGAGUUGAAGGCAGUUUUCGGAAUGUCCUCCUUCUUUAUCAAUAACUGAUAGUAUCCCUGUCGGAGGUCCAACUUCGAGAAGACCACUGCUCCUUGCAGCUGGUCAAACAACUCGUCGAUGUGGGGCAGUGGAUACUUAUUCUUGAUCGUCACGUUGUUCAGCCCCCUAUAGUCAAUACACAUCCUCAAAGUUCCAUCCUUUUUCUUCACGAAUAGAACCGGAGCUCCCCAAGGAGACUCACUCUCGUGGAUGAAUCCCCGCUCCAAAAGGUCUUGUAAUUGCAACUUAAGCUCUUUAAGUUCUGCAGGCGCCAUUCGGUAAGGGGUUUUGGAGAUAGGUGCGGUUCCAGGUAAAAGAUCUAUUCGGAAUUCUAUCUCUCUUUCCGGAGGUAGGGCUACUAACUCGUCAGGAAAUACAUCCGGAAAUUCCCUCACUAUCGCCACGUCUUCCACUUUUAACUUAUCCGUAGGGGUAUUAAUUAGAAAGGCCAAAUAUCCUUGCGCCCCUCUACUUAUCAGUUUCCUAGCUCGAAUGCCCGAAAUGAGAGCAGAUGAGGCUAACCUACCCCUUAUAUCUAACCUUAAGGUUGCCUCGCCAGGAAUGCGAAAUUCAACUAUUUUCGUUUUACAGUCCAGUUGGGCGUUAUAUUUAGCUAACCAGUCCAUACCCAAAAUCACGUCGUACCCCUUAAUGGAUAAACUAAUCAAGUCCCCUAAAAACCUCCUUUCACCUACCCAUACGUCGCAAUCCCUAUAAACCAUACUAGUCACCAAACGUUGUUCCCCGUAGGUGUACUAACCUCUAAGUCAUAUGGUAAACUAGCAGGUUUUAUAUCGAUGCCACACAUGAAAUCAGGGUUAACAAACGAAUGAGUGGCACCAGGAUCAAUUAAAACUUUGGCAAAGCGGUGGAAAAUAGGGAUCGUACCUUCCACCACCUCGGAAGAAUCUGGGACCUGAUGGGGCUCUAAGGAAUAAACCCUAGCUGGCACCUUAGGUUUGGACCCGUCUCCCUUGGCUGGUCCAGUGUUAGUCCUCGGCGGUAGCUGACUCCCCUUUCCAUCUUGUUUCAGGACCGGACAUGUAGCCAGCUGAUGGUCCGCACUUCCACACCGCAGACAUUUCCCCAGUUUCCUCCAGCAAUUGUCCUCGGUGUGGUUUGUCUUUCCACAGUGCCCACAGGGACCACGAGGUGCCGAUGCCGAGCCACUCUGGGUGUUCCCCCUUUGUCCUCGCCCAGCUUGGCCGCCCCUGAACGGAGUCCCUCUGCCUGAUCCCGAUUGUCGACCACCUCCUGAUCCUCGUCCAAACUUCGAGGGAGUACUCUUCUCACUUUGUCCAGAUGUACUCCCAGGAAAACCACGCUUCUUGGCCUGGAAGUUUCGGACCUGAAGCCGUGCACUCUCGACCCGUUGGGCUUUUCCAUUGCCUCGCUAAAAGUAGUGAUUUGAGCCGCUGCGAGAUCUUUCUGGAUCUCCACGUUCAAGCCCUGAAUAAAGCGCCUCACGCGUCGUUGUUCGGUCAUAAUUAGUUCAGGCGCGAAUUUGGACAGGCGGGUAAACUGGCUCUCGUACUCCGCCACAGUCUGAGCCCCUUGCCGGAGCCGGAUAAACUCGUCCUCCUUCCUUUCCUGGACUAGAGGAGGGAAAAACUUAGCAUUAAAUUCUCGGAUGAAGUUCACCCAAGUCCUCUGUGUCUGCUCCCGCUCCCAUUUCUGCCUAAUUACGUUCCACCAGGAACGGGCAGCCCCCUCGAGUUGGAACACGGCAAAAGUCACCUGCCGUUCGUCCGGAUAGUGUAAGGCCGCGAAUAUGUCUACCAUCUUCUCCAGCCAUUUCUCGGCCACGUCAGGGUCGGGUCCCCCAACAAACUUCGGCGGGGAAAACUUUUGAAAACGUUCUAGAGCUCUAUCUUCGCUCUCAUUAUGAUGGCCAGGGUUUCCGGGGUUUCCAGGGUUAGGGUUUGGGUUCUGGCCCUGUUGUUGCACUACUUGUGCAAGUAGGUUUGUCAUUUGCUGCAUAGCGGCAGCUAUUUGAGCAUUGGGGUUUAUUUGGGGUUCAGGAAUUGGGCCAGUAGAAGCUUCCCCAGUUUCUCUAACCGGUGUGGGUUGUCUAAUACCGCGCCCACGCCCCCGACCACUUCGUGUUCCUUCCAUAAGGUAUACUUGUUCUAGGCAAGAGUACUAACCAAAGCAGGAGUAAAACAGGUAAGUAACACAUAAACUUUCACAUAACACAUAGUGAUACAGUUCAUACAGGGUCACAAGCACACGUAUAUACAAGCCAAACAUUUAUACAAGCAGUCAGUCAAGUACGGUCAAAGCACGUACGUACACAAAGAUCCACCUGAGGAUAGGCCUAUCAAAAGAGAUUUACACGUAGCCAACUCUAUAUCCAAAACGGUUAGCUAAGGCUCUAUUCCUAUCCCUAUGUACAUUCAAAACCACCACUAUCCAAAAGGUGCCCUAAGAUCAAGGCCUAAUCAGUCGCUGGGGUCUGGGACCCAGGCGAUGGGGUAGACUCCUCCCCAGGCUCGGCCCCAGCACACGAGGCCUCAUCACUAGACUCCUCGAGUCCGUCGUCACACAAAUUAAGGAUCGCCUCAGCGCGACCCCGGACCUUGCGAGCUCGCUUGAGCUCUCGCUCUCGAGCCUCCUUUAAUUGAGCGCAAAGGUCGUCCACUCGAUCUUCGGCCUCAAGUACGUCGUACUCUAACUCUUUAAUUCGCGCAGCUUGCUUAUCAUUAGUUGCCCUAUCCUGAAUAGCAUCGACCUCCAGUCGAGCAUUCUCUCUUGCCAACCCCUUGCGCUCUUUAUCUAGCGCAAACACUAGAGUGUUCGGGUAAGCAUAUCUCUCCUUACACGGGCACCGUCGAAGACGGUUAGACGGGCUCCAACGAAUGACGGCCCCACCCGGCCGUAUCUGAUAGGGGAUCACAGGAAGUACUUUACGAGGUCUAGCCCCCGAAGGACUAGCACUAGUGUCACCCUGUUCGGCCAUCCUACAUCACAAGAACAUGUAGUUAUCAAAAUAAGCUUAAAGGCCAAAAGCAACAAUCCGUAAGGCAAACAAUCCGAUAACACCCAGGCUAAUUCAAACCUAGGCUCUGAUACCACCUGUGACAGCCCCACCUUCCCCUAAGGCGAACCAAAGGGGUUAGCGGACUGCCUGCCCAGCUCUCGCCAGGACUACGGUACAGUUAACGUCGUUCUAUAACGUUCCGAAACAUACCAUUGCGCGCAAACAAGUCAGAAAACACAAAAUAAAAAAAAACGAAAAUUGAAAACCGAAAUGAAUAGUGCUGGACACGCCAGAAUCCGGCCGGAAUCUGGCCGGAUUAGAGGCCGGAUUCUUGGCCGGAUACUGUCCAGUAAGCAUCUCGAAUUUUUUUCAAAAGUUCCACCCAAUCCGGCCGGCAAUCCGGCCAAUAUUCCGGCCGGAUUGUCUGGCCGGAUACCGGCCAGUGAGCAACUGGCCGGGUUUCCAAUUUUUCUCAAUCAAUCCGGCCUUCAAUCCGGCCAGAUUCUGGCCGGAUUCCUGGCCGGAUUCAGGCCAGUGAGCUUUUGCCAAAAAUUUUUUUCUUUUGCCGUUUGAAAGCCGAUUCGCUCCGAAGUUCAUCCAAACAUCAAUUCAACAUAUAAACAUAUAUAUACAAUGGAAAUCAUCAUUUACAUCCAUAAUGGCAUGCCAACCAUUCAUUAAGGAGUACACAUUCGAUUUGCCUAUCAAAAGGAAAUGAACCCGUUACAUUAGGGUUUCACUUCGAGAGCGAUACAAAAGACAUGUACAAGCUCAGUAUGGCAAUUGACUAUCCAGUCCAUUUUCAAAAGCAUUUAUAUUCCUGUAAGGAAAACAAAUAACACGGAAUGAGCCAAGGCCCAGUGGUAUACCACCCAAUAAGCAAUCAAAGUCAUAUAAGAAUGAACCUUCAUUUAAAGUGCACAACUAAGCAAUGAAGCAAAAUGGUAAAAGGAUACGGUCGGCUCUCAAGAGCCCAUUUCCACGCUUGCAAUCUUGAACCAAUCUCAUUGACUCUCCGUCAAUGUUAAAAUACCAAACCGUAGACAACUCUUUACUUCCAUUCCUUCCACCCAACAUACCCCAACCGGGCCCGCACUCCAUUUCAGUAGCUUUUGGUAAUACUCGAGUUUACCGGAACCAAGGGUCUCAUACCACAAGGUUCCCCAGUACAGUCCCCGUGGCAAUUCAAUCUUCACGACCAAGCCCUCGCCGGCUCGAUCCAAUUGACUACCAAACGGAGUUGAGCUCAGUAAUGCAGUAUGGCCGUUGGACAUCGUCCAAACGACAUCAAUUCGGUUUCCAUGAAAUGGAAUUUACCAACCAAUAUAUCAAGUCCAGUAAUGCAAUAAAACGGUAACCAAUCAGUGACAAUAACAAAAGAGGUGAGGGCGGUCAAGUACACCCUCACCCUGAUCAAUUUCAAUAUCCAAGUAGGCCAUUAAGGCAUCACAUAACAUUUAACAAAGCCACAUAGUAAUCCAUCAAGUGAGUAGUAUACUCACCAAGUAAGAAAAUGGUGUUUCAUACACCGUGAUCACCAAGACGCCGUGAGCUACCGUCACGCCCUAGAAUCACACAACAAAUGCAAUGAGACUCGAGAACGAGUCAUCAAACAAUACUAAACACAACCCCAAUAGGGUUUCACAUGCAUAAGUAGGCAUGAUAGCAAACCAGAAAUUAAUAUAUGGCCUUAACUGAAACCUCGAUAGAAAAACCGUGUUUGAGCUUAGAAUGCGGUAAUGGCGUAAAUUUCACUACGGUUAUCGGUUGGGGGUGUAAGACCCACCGUUUCGAAGCUAUGAAACAGGGCUACAACAAUGUAGAAGGGCACUCAAUCCAGUUACUAGCACCACUAGGUCAAAAAUGCCAAAAACUAUACCAGAAUUCCCAAAACAGGUUUGCAAAAGACAGAAAACUGUAAUCGGUAUAACUCAGUCUAUACAAGUCCAAAUGCCGAAAUUCCAAAGGCAUAUGUUAGCUAAGACAUUCAGCUACAUUUCAUCAGAAGACAUCAACUUCAAAAUCCAAACCAAAACCAGUCAAAAUGGCCAAUCACUAUCGCAGUUUUCGCAUUCUGUCCAAAGCAGAACAGCUACAGUAAUUUCGUCAUAACUCAUUCUACACUAAUCCAAAUGACCUGAAAUUUUACAGGCAUCUCCAUCACAUCAAUACCUACAACUUUCAUGUUUUGAGCAAAGUCUAAUUCGGCCUCUAACCUAGUAAUCUAAAACCGGACAGAAUUGGGGACUUUCAAACCCUAACUUGCCAAUUUUCCAUCCAAAUCCAAAAUUAGUUGCAUUUAACCACAGUUCACAUCCACUAGAGCCAUAAUAGUCCAUUGCCAAUCAUCACAAACAACCACACCAUCAUAAUCCAAUUAAACCAGAAAAAUUCCCAAUAAAAUAAAAACUUCACCAUAACAAGCCAAACCAAGAGAUAAACCACAUUUUCAACUACUUAAGCCACUUCUAAGCAUCAUGUAACCAUUAUUGAAGGUAGUAGGGUGUUCAAGCAACACUUACCAAGAGAUCAAGAGAGAGAGGGAUGUAGGACACCUUUGCUCUUCAAACAAAGUUCACCAAACAACUUGCUAGCACUAGAAGGAAGAAAUUUAUGGAGUAAAAACUAAGUUAAGCAAGUGGUUUAGUUGAUUUGAGCUUGGAGUUGGCUAGAAUAUUGAAGAGUUUUGUCUUUCUUCUUGCUUAGGGAGGGCCGGCCAUGGAGGAAGAAAAUGAGAGAAUUUUUGGUGAAUUUUUUUGAAGAUAUUUACUUAUUUGGGUCAAAAGUCAAAAAAUGUCAAAAGGUGAAUAGUAACUCUUAAAGUAAGACUAAUGACAUGGUGACAAGUGGCACUACAUUAAAUGCAAUCUUAUCAUUUCUUUUCUCUCUCACAUCAAUCACUUCACACACACUACUUAUCUCUUAACACCCGAUAAAUUUUAAACAGUAUCCGAAACUUAACCUUAUUGGCCGAAUUUUUCCGAACUUUUCGUACUAGUGGGUCCCACGUCCAUUAUUUAUCCUUAAUUUUCUAAAAACUCGCCAAUGCUAGAAAAAUCAUCUUAAAACUAUAAUUGCUCAUAAAAUCCUCUCAGAAAAUAUUUCUAAGCCAGAAAAUGCAAAAUUAUGCAAUUAAAGGGGAAUAAACCCUAGGAAAAUAAUUAGGGUUUUACGGGCUCUCACAAGACCUCUUGCAAAAAUUUUCUUUGAGGAAUAGUGGGGAUUGAGUUGAUUUGCAUCUGGAGAUGGCCAGUCCUAGUGCGAAUUGACUUGGUUUCCACUUGACGCUUAAGUGAGCCAGUUGUACAUAUUCUCUGAGUUUGAACAUGGGACUUGAGGCUUUAACUAGAAAUCCCAAGGUUGGUUAUUCUUGGAGAUGAAUGUACUUUAGAUAUUGGUUGACUCGCUAAAGAUUUCUUUUAAAACUUUGGAUGAAUGGCCUUUGAUUUCAACUUGUAUUAUGACCUGAUUAGCUCUAAUUUUGUAAUGGCAUACAACUUAAUUGAGACUAGUUUAAAUUCUAUGUUAACUGUGAAUGUGUUAUUCGUGAAAUUGUUAUCUGUGGAUAUAGUUUUAUUGCUCAUUUUGAAAAUUGUUAAAUACACGUGUGCAUAGUUAAUUUUGGUUUAGUGAGCCAUUUACACAUACAUGUAUAGAUUAGUUGUGAGAAUGGAAGCUGGGAGACGACGACGUGGGCGUCAACCCAGACGACCUCAAAAUCAAGGAGGAGAUAAAGAAUCUACCGCCGACCGAAACGCUGAACCUAGGGUUGGGGAAGAAAACCAAAUUGGGUUAGUUUUGACUCGCAUGACAGACAUACUAGAGCGAUUGGUACCCCAACAAGGUCAGGGAAUUGGACAACUGAACCAACUUGGAAACCAAGAAAUAGGGGAGGAUAGGGCUUUAGAGAGAUUUCAAAAGUUUUCCCCUCUUAAAUUUUCUGGGGGUCCCGACCCCGAUAUAGCUGAAAAUUGGUUGGAGAAUAUAAGGAAUAUAUUUGAUGCACUAGAUUAUUCUGAGGAGAGAGAAGUAAACUUUGCUGUGUUCCAACUUGAAGGACCGGCUCGAGCAUGGUGGAAUGUUAUAAGAAAUAAGUGGGAAAGGGAACAAACUCCGAGAACUUGGACGAAUUUUGUCCUAGAAUUUAAUGAAAAAUUCUUUCCACCACUAGUCCAAGAAAAAAGAGAGGAUGAUUUUAUAAAACUUCGCCAAGGAACUUCAAGUGUGGCAGAAUAUGAAACUGAGUUCACGAAACUGUCUAGGUUUGCCCCAGAAUUGGUAAUUACAGAGCGAAAGAGAAUAAGGCGGUUUAUUCAGGGCCUCAAUCUAGAAAUUCAAGAUGGCCUCGCAGCGGCCCAAAUCGAAACGUUUAGUGAUGCCCUUGAGAAAGCCCAAAGGGUUCAGAUUUCAAAAGCCAAAUUGAGAGUUUUUCAAGAACGGAAAAGAGAUGCACCUAGUAGUAGUCACCCUGAGGCAUCUAGAAACACUGUACCACCACCCAAAGUUGGAAAAGGAGCUGGUGGGGUGAGACUAUCACUUCCAUCUUCUUCUCAGAUGCAGCAAUUAGAAGGAACUCCGUCACAAGGAACUCAGAUUAAAAGGGGUCAAUCAAGGACGACGCCAUAGGGAAGUCAAACCAUGAAUUUUCAACCAAACUGUGGAUACUGUGGAAAAGGAAAUCACACUGAAAAUAACUGCUGGGUGAAGGAGAGAAAGUGUUUGCGUUGUGGGAGUGCAGACCAUCAGGUUAGCAACUGCCCAAGAAAGCAACCACGAGAGAAUAAUCAUCGACAAGGAUAUGGAACUACUUCUGAACGAACUACUGAAGGAGGGAACCGACCACAAGUGCCAACUGGAACAUAUGCCUCUAUCGGUCGACAGACUCUGGGGUCGACCGAGGUAGUUGAAGGUAUGAAUUUCGAGGACGAAAUUCUCUUAAGGGGGAGAGGAUGUGAGGACCCAUAUCUUAAUUAUUGCAAAAUAUUUUUAAAUUGGUCAUUUAAAAGUAUUUUUUUUGCAUGUGAAUUACUCAAGUCUUCCCAAAUUGCAUGAAUUUCUCAAAAAUGAGUCUAAACAAUUGAUUCUUUAAACAAUUAUUAUUUUAAGGGUAAAAAAUAAAAAAGCCCCCUGUGAUAAACCUAAUACACAGAAAAGCCCCCCGUGGUUUCAAAAUAUACAACACGACUCCUCAUACUUUGAACUAAAUUGUAAAGGUGACGGAAACCGUUAAACUUAACGGAAAUUGUCAAAAUGACCAAAAUACCCUGAUAUAAUUAAGCAAAAGACAGCUCAAAAAAAUCAUUUGUUUUAUUUUCUAAAUAGAGAGAAUUGAGGGUUAAGGGGUAGAAUUGGUAUAUUUGAUAAAAAAUAGGUAUAAAAAAUUUUUUUUAGGUUCCAAUAAGUCAUUUCCGUUAAGUUUAACGGAUUCCGUCACUUUUACAAUUUAGUUCAAAGCAUGAGAUGUCGUAUUGUAUAUUUUGAAACUAUAGGGGGCUUUUCUGUGUAUUAGGCUUACCACAGGGGGCUUUUUUGUUUUUAACCCUUAUUUUAAUGACCAAAUUUAUUCGAGUUGAAUUAUUUAUGGUGUUUUUGAUUGUUACAUAUACUUGUCGCAUUUGCAUCUUUGACUUUUAAUAAAUUUUAUUAUUGUUGGUUCUUAGAUAAGUAGGUAAAAAUAAGUUUAAAGUCGCAAAUAAAUUAAUUGUGCAAAAUAUUGGGUUAUUUGAAUUUUUGCCAAGUUAAGUUAAUAUUUCUUGACGUAGAGUGUGGUAUUGCUUUAAUAUUAAUUCCUUGAAUUUCAAUAGCUAAUUUUAAGUAUUAUUAAUGUUAGGUGUUAACGGGAACCUAGAAUUAAGGCAAAAUCGUUUUAAGUCAAAACUUUUUAUAAUUACCCGUAGGACGUUGUAUUACGAUAAUUGAAUUUUUUUGCGAGGGUAGAAUAUUAGUAGGCAUUCGAAUUACAUUUGGGGUAAAUUUUGGAAUUAGUUUAGGAUGAGGGACCUAAGUGAAAGAUUGAACAAGAUGCUAAAAGACUAAAACAGCCCUUCUCCAAUUCAAAUUCACCAUGCAACCACCAAAGCUUCCUCGGCCAACCUUAGGAACAAAGCACUUCAAUUUGCUGCCGGUUCCAUUUCCUUUCCACGCUUCAUUAUUCAUUCCAGCACCUUCCAUUGACAUUGCCGACUCAACUCCACUCACAGCACCUCAAUAUAUAAAUGUUCCACCUCUCUCAUUCGCGGCUUAACUACCCACUUCAGCAGCCCAACAUUCCACAACAUUUCCAUCUCUGCCGAAGUGCAUUCCUUUUCUCCACUAACUCACCUCAACCACAACAACACCCUCUGCCUUGGAAUCAUCGAAGUGAGGAAACCAGCGAGGGAGAGGGAGCUGCCAUUCCAUUUUUCACCCUCAACUAGCCGUGAUCAAUUCAGUCACAACCACUACAGCUGCAACCACUGAAUUCAGACUAACCAUCCUCGCGUGCGUGAGCUGCCGAGAGGAAAAAUUGCAGCUGCUGUCCGUGUGAGCUUUUCAUCCUUUUCCUUUCGUCUGUAAACUAGAAAGAGAUUGGGAGCCAUAUUGUCUUCAUACUAGUCGCAAGCUAGAGCAAAGGAGAAGGAGAGUUGCGGACUGAAAUUCUGGACAGCCGAGAGUAGAGGAUUUUUGCAGCUGCUAGUUGCGUGAUUUGAGCCUUAAGCUGAGGUAAUUUCUGGACUUAAGCUAGUUGAUUAUGGGAUGAUGAAGCUGUCUAUAAGCAUGCAUGUGGACUGGUGAGGUUAGAUGAAGAAUUGUGACUUAAGAAAUCUGGUUUGGAAUGAAUUGAAGCUGCUGAAUGUGUGAGCUGGAUUUUUGUAACUUUAAUUAGCUAAUCUGUGAUAAUCUGAGCUUAGAAAUGUGUUUAACUAACUGAAAACAAGAAGUUUAAACCAUGCAUGAAGUUAAUUAGCCGUAUUAUGCUAGAAGGGAAAAAUAAUACACGACUCUGCUUCAUGCAAGCUCAUCCGAGAGCAGUGAACAAAAAUUCUGGUUUUGUGGUUGAAUGUUGUUGAUGACCGAACCUAAUUUGAACUGGGACUGAUAAUUAAUACAUUGAUUAGUCAUGCAUGUUGGUUUUGAGUACCUAAUACAAGGUUUUAGCUGAAGAAAAUCCAGAUUUGCAUCUAACUUAGCUGCUGGAAAUUUUCUGGAAUAGCCGAGAGACUUCAUGUUUGUUUGCAUUUGUAAUUGCUGUCAAAUGGAAAAUUUUGUUAUGAAUUGCAUAUAGAUUGUUAGCUUUAAGUAUUAAGUGAAGCUUAAUGGAAGAAAAUCUGAGGAAAAGUUGAAUUGUGGAUUGAAACCGAGGGAAAUUUUCUGCUGUAAAAUAUUCCAGCUUGGUCGAGAGAAGGAAGUGAGCAUUUAAUUAGUUUUGUUUUCGAAUUUCAAUUCAGAUUUUCGUAUUGGAUGUUUAAGAUUUGCUUGAGGCUUGCUAAUCACCUUUUUCAUGUUGAGCUGAGGUAAGAAUUGAAGAAAACUAGGAACAAAAGCUAUAUAAAUAAACUAUCAAUUGCUGGAAAAUUUUAUCUUAGCUGAUGACAGAUUUAUGGGGACUUUUUGGUGGAAUAAUUUAUUGGAAUUAAGCGUUAUUUGCUUUGGUAUAUGCUGGUAUGAAUGUCAUACUUAAAUUUAUGAUGGUUUGAAUAAGAGUCUUAUGGUUUUAAAAGAGAAAAAGGAGUUUUUCACAAGUGAAAAAUGAGUUUCCAGAUUUUCGGAUUUCUCUGACCAGUCUCAGUAAAAUGCUUAUAUCUUGGUGUAGGAAAAUCCGAUUGAGGUGCCGUCAGUGGCAUUUGAAACUAGAGUCAUGGGCCUUUGUUUUGUAGAAAUUUCAUAUUUUUCCUCCAUGUGUAAUGCUGUCCGUGAUUCCUCAAAGUAGGCUGUCCUGUUAGAAUGUCCUGUUUCCUCAGGAAACUGAAUUCUUGACUUGGAUCGAAUAUUUGGCCUAUUUGUGAUUUGAAUCUCUGAAAAGUGUCUUCUGGGAUGUGAUAGUAUUAAAAAUCUAUUCUACAACAGUAUAAUUUUCAUAAUUGUUUGAUUUGUGGAACAUGAACUAAAGCAAUUUUUGAAGGAAAAUAUUUUCCAGCAUGACCGAACUGGUUGGGACUUCUGGUGAGUUUAUUUGCUGGAUUUGUGUAUUAUUUACUUUAGCUUGGUUUGGACAGAUGAUAAGCUAUGUGUUUAGUGAAUUUAGCAAGUAAAAGUUAAAGGUUUAAUGGACAUCUUGGAUUGAAUUUUGCUGGGUUUUCUUGACUACCGAAUCAAGAAAAGAAAAUCUGAAUUUUAGAACUACUUGAGAGUCAAGUGGGCUGUAGUUUUUAUUCUUAUUUUGAAUGGAUUGGUGUUUGAAGCGAGUAUUGGUUGUCAAGAGCUAAUGAUUGAUGAAGCUCUUGACCAUUCGAAUAGUUUUGCAAUAAUUUAAUUUUUGGUGAAUUGGCUCAAGUAGUUGGCUAAAAUGUGCUUGGAAGUUCCCUGGUUUGCGUUUUGGAUUGUCUUGAUACCUUGGACUUCCUUUGUUGAAUUUUAUUUGGAAUUGAAUCUGUGGAGACCUAGGGCUAAUGAUUGAUGAAGCCCUAGUGAAAUUGAUGUCUGAAUUGUGAUUUAGCUAUUUUGGCAACCAGGAAUACAAUGUGCAAAUAAUUUGAAAUCGUAAAGUCCGUUUUGGUCUGUUGAAUUUGAGUACUUUUAAAUCAAGCUUUGUGGAAUUAUUUUAUCUUACUAUCAAGUUAUAGAGAUGGAGAAUAGCGCGUUAAUAUUUAAAAUUUAAAUGAAAAGUGUAGAAAACUUGCUCGGCAAGGAAACAUGAUUCUUUUUCACUUAUACUCUAGUACUUGAGCUUUUAUUGAAAAUUUUCUAGUACGAACACAUUUUUCACCUUCUCGAUUUCCGUGCCAAAUUAAGCAUUUUACCCUUCUUUUGAAAUUGAUAGUCCUUGCCACGAUUUAUCUCGGAAAUGGGACUUUUAAAUUCCUUUUGGUUUUAUACCAAUGAUUAAGUUAAAACUUCCUAUUUCAAUUUGUUUGAGCUUGAGGCUUGAGUGUGUGUAUCUAAGAGGUUUUCUUUAUUCGCCUUAAUCGAGCAUCUAGGUAAUUUGUAUUUGUGAUUAAUCUCAGGUGAUUCAGAGGACACCGAGAAGCUCUUUUAAUUUCCUGCUUUUGCUCUUGCUUUGCUUCGGAUUACGGUGAGGGAUUCCAAACUGUUUUGCACAAAAUUGCUUCUCGAACUUGUAUAACCACUGUUUGUAUAAUUGCUUAUAUAUAUAUAUAUAUAUAUAUAUAUAUAUAUAUAUACGUGGUGUGACUUGAUGAAUGCUUCUUUCAUGCCUAAGUGGUCUAAUACUUGAUGAAUCUUGUUCAUUUGAAUGAAAAGUAGUUAUUUCUAGGCGAGUGUGUACUUUAUCGCACUCGACCUAACUGUUGCUGUAUUGCUUAACUGUUCAAUAUUUCAUUGUUUAUAUGUUAUUUGCGUAUGCUGUAGGCCAUGUGUACUUUAUCACAUUGGCUGAACAAGGCCUUUUCCCCUUCGUUAUCACCUAUUCGAGCCAGAAGCGGACUCGGUCGGAUAGGUUGAUAACCCUGGGCACUGUAUUUUGGUAUACUCGAGUAUUACCACUGGAGGGAUAAGGUGAUGGCCAGUCAACCGAAGGAGUUACCAACGGGAGUUAUAAGGACGGAAGUGGACCGAGUAUUGUAUCCUUUUGUGUUUGCUUUACUAUUAAUACUGUUAUUGCUCUCCUAGUUGACAUUUCUCGGGUAAGACUCCUCAUGAGCAUUAAUCUCUGAGACGAAGCAAUCCUUGUAAUGUUCUUCUAGUCGGACGAGCCACUAUUUGUUUGACUAAAAUUCAUGAAAAUAUAUUUAUGUGAUCAUGCAUUCCAAAUGUACGUUAGUGGUUUUUAAAUGAUUUAUGAGUUGUACUCAGAACAAAGUUGCCAACAAAAGUAUUACUUCUACAUGUGUUUCCAAAGUAACGCUUACGCACUGGUUUAUAAAUACUUGAUUUUCCCUUUUGAAACCUCAUUGAGUUUUAGCUCACCCCCAAAAAUAUUUUAGUUCUAUGCAGGGCUCGAGAAGGAUAGUUACUCAAGCGCAAGGAUUUGGAGUACCGUGGAUUAUCCUUUAUGUGGAUUGUGAUUGAUUUUCUUCGUGAAGUGUAAUGGUUGUUUUGAAAGAUUUGUGAAACUUUUUGGUAUGAUGUACUUGUGGUUGAAGUGAAUGUAAAUCUCAUGAUAUUUUGGGGAUUAUACUUUUGUAAGAAUGAUUUGAAUUGCAAACAUAAGGAUUGUACUUAAGUUAUUAGUACGACAAUUUAGAUGAAGUAUUGGACUUGUACUUUGGUGUGUUGGACUGGUGGAUAUAUUAUACUCCGUUUGAGCUUUUAAGAACCAUCGAUUAUAUUCAUGCUUGAGUUUUGUAGUGAGUCCCGGCGAGAGUUGGGCAGGCGGCUGCCGAACCCUUUGGUUCGCCUUAGGGGGAAGUGGGGUCGUCACAGACGCCUCAGCCAUAGGUUUCAAAAGGACUAAUAUUGCAAUAUGAUGGAGUCGAAGUAAGGCUCGCAAGCGACGUACAGAAGAUCUGUUCAUCGCUCCCCUGAUGUUCCAAAUAAGGAGAUUAUGCAUUAGAGAUGGAGUGAGACGAUACCUCAACGGUUUUAGAAGCCUGGCGUGUUAGAAUCUGCCGAGGCAGCGGGACAUGUGCCCUCCGCUUCCUCGGCUUCCGCGAUAAAACCAUGGUGAAACCGUCCGCAUCUUACUCGCCCAUUGGCUUGGUCAGUUGUGAUCCCAAGGUUGCAAUGAACUGUUGCAGAGAGCAGGUCAGUUUCGCUCUACUGGGCACAGGGCUGCGGGGCAGCUCCUCUCCAUUCGAAAGAGAUCCAUGAGUGUCCGUCCUCUCCUGUUCGUGAAAACGAAGCUGAGUAUCAUCGCAGAUACUGCCCAGCGCUGGCGUGAAGUCUAAAGGGGCCUCCUGUUGUUGCCCCAAAGCAGCAAAAGCCUCACGUAUCUGCUGCGUCGAACCCACAGUAGCGUAAGGGAGAGCGGCCUCCCGCAGCUCUUCAUGUGGUUGGGCUUCCCAUCACCGAGCCCGGGGAGUUCAAUCGAUGGGCCAACGGUGCCGAGCGCUACAGCAGCCUCUCGGUCGAAAUUUUGGGGUUGGGUAGCAGUGGGCUCCGUUGUCAGUUCAUGGCCACGCUGCUCAGCCAUGGUAGGUGCCUCCUUUUGCUGUGAAACGGGGACAAGACAUGGUGCGCCACCACGCUCACCUUUUGCACGCCUACUACAAAUGGAACAAAACAGAGGAAGAUUCUCGCAAAUUACUUGCUGCCAGAAACCCUGCCUGCCAACCCCUAUCCAUACGCGGCUGGGGAGAUCCUUGGAGACAUCGAUAUCGAUGCAGAUCCUGGCCACACUAGGCCAGGCUAAGGUAGCCGUUGCUGCGUCGAUCUUUAAGGGAGUGCCAAUAGCGGCAGCAAUGGAGAACAACGAACUCUUGUCAAAGAAGUGGAUGGGCAAUUGUUCCAAGGAGACCCAUAAAGGAGCACGAGAGGGCUCGCUGUUGAGCUGAAAAUCAGGGGACCACUUGAACACACGCAUGGGGAAAUCAGCGAUGGUCCAGCAUCCCUUCAACCAGCAUCGCAGAAAGUCUUCCUCCAAACAAAACCGAACCAAGAUAUGGUGGUGGUCUAGAAGGCCAAUAGAGAAGGUCGAGUGGAAGCCAAUCGUGGCGAAAGCUUUCCGUAUUGUGUCCAGAUUUGGUCUCCCAUGGGAGAACUUCCCUACGAUAGCAAACUGGAACGGCGCCGCCAGCUUGACAAUAUCCUCCUCAUUAGAACAAGACUGCCGACUCGCAUUUGAAUUGAGAGAGUGGCUUCACUUUACAUGGAGAUAGGGACGGCUAGUCCUGGAGAACCUCAGUGAAUGAACGACUUGCACCUCCUUUGGACUGGAGGUCAGCCAUGGAGAAACCCUAACUUGCCAAAUUUAGAAGGAGCCCAAUAAAUAAUAUAAUGAAUCUUUGUGUUAAUGUUUGCUUGUUGAUUUUCUACCAUUGUAACAUGCUUAAUUGUACUUACAAUUCACAACUGUCUCAAAUUCUUGAACAUUUUUCCCUUUGAUUUAACUACAUUAUUUAGAUUAGCUUCCAAAGAUUCAUGAAAACAUUUAUUUCUUUCAAAAUAUAUUAAGACUACUCUUACUCAGUGAUUUAGAUUAUUUUAAUAUCAAUACUUUCUGUUAUUUAGCUCUUUCAUUUACACUAAUUCAAUAAGCGAGUAAUCUAGCAAGUAGUUUGUCAUAAGCACUACCUUUUGAGUUAGGUGUGAAUGAGUUAGAUUAAUUCUGAUUACCCUAAUAUCAAUUCUUUCGAAAUAUAUUAAAAUUAGUAGUUUGUCAUAAGCAUUAGUUUUCGUUUUCACAUCUUUUCAUCAAUAACUUGAAUUAGAUUAAACUUAACUGCAUAUGUAUAUUUUAUCCUUAUGCCAUUACUUGAUCAUUAUUAGUCACCAAUAUCUAUUGUACUUUGCAUCACUAUAAAAAAAGGAUAUUAAGUCAAAAUUUGUAUUGCAUAUAUGAGUAAUUUCAAUUUUCUUCUACUGAUCAAGUUUCAUUAAAGUAGACGACAACUAACUUUCAAAUAUUUGGAAACUGUAUAAAAGUACCAGUAGAUCUUUCAUUUUCUGAAUAACAUCCCAUAAGUCUGGUAGAUAUUGAGUUUACAAAUAAAUCUCAUAAAACUAACAUUUCACAAAAUGAAAUUACUAUACUCACUAUCGACUCUAAAUCAUAGCAUGUCCAUAGCACCAGCAUACAAAUAUGUGAAAUUCUCCUUCUACGAUUCGGUUUCUUUCUCGCCAUCUUUAUAUUGUGAAUGCUACAUUACCAAAAUCAAAUCAUCAUGAACUUGUAUCAUGAAAACCCAACGUGAACAAAUUGUUAGUGAAAACAUUCAAAUAGAAACCUUUGAUAUGCAUGAUGUCAAUACAGCUCACUUUCAUCUAUACACCAAAGCAACUAACUAAAAUCUUAAUGAUAUUUUGUAUGCUAAUAAAAUUGAUCACAAGUACUUAUGGCUGAUCAUCCAUUCACCUCCUGGGCAAUAACUACUACACUAACUCCCAAAAGGAAAAGAGUACACAAAUACUACCUGAUCACAGUUCUGGGGCAAAAAUCAUUUCAACUCUUUAAUAGCUUGAGAAAAUCUUGAACCCUUUCCCACCAUAGUUUCCAAAUAAUUUUUAUCAUUCACACUUGACCAACCAAUUCUUCACUCUUUUAAAACAAACCAUUGUUUCAAUGAUUUUGGCUGCACAAAACGCUUUGCUUGACACAAGCACAAAUGUCUAAGGAGCGCAACCAUGCUAUUUUGCAAUGUGGUUCACAAAAAAAAUAGAAACUAGUAAGAACCUGCACCAAAUUCAUUAUCAUAUUCGCAAUCUCAACACAUUAAAAUAAAUAACAUUUAUGUAGAAUUCGAAAAUUCUACUAGAAAAAUAUGGGAGAUAUAUUUGAUAAAAUCAAUGUAUAUGGAGAGGCAAUUUACACACAUAAGAAUAUGUGUGGAAGAACAGAAAUAAUAUCAAUAAUAAUCUAUUAAUCCCAUCAUAAGAACAAGACUCUCAAUCUUCCACUCUUCUCAACUGAACACAAUAAUAUGACUCCUUAUUUAUAGACUAAAUGACUUGAUAAACAAGUCUUACACCACAAGAAAUUUCCUAAUAAGAUACUAAUUCCUAAAUAAUAAAACUAUCAUAACUUGACUCCAAUAGAAUUACUAAAACCCUAACUUGACUAAAACACUACUAAAUAAUAAUAUGAAAAUUUCUAAUUUUGAGUCUUGAUUUAAUAUGCCAACAUUGCCUCCCUCAAAUCAAUCUGUCUUGGAUUAGAUUCACCACCAUCACAAUCAAUAAUCUCCGCUCUCUCUUGGAUCAGGUUCACCAUCAUCACGAUCAAUAAUCUACCUUGAUUCUUGCUGCUGCAAUAUUCCACACACCUGUAUAGAGUCGUUCAACUUAUUUUCCACUUGCAAAAAUAAUCCAAGCUUUUGGAUAGACUAUUUUCGUCACCCAAUUUGAUGUCAACUUAUUGACAAUUCACUUUGUGAUUUUCAUAAUCACAAUCUAACUGAUAGGAUUCUUCUUCGAUCUCUGUCGUAACAUCUGCAAUCAAUCAAUCUGACAAUUCUCGAACCAAUCUCAUGGUCCAGUCCUCACAAACUAGCCACUUCAUGACCAAUCUUGUGGUCUAACUCGAUCAACUAAUUUCUUCACAACAAUUUUAUACUCUAACUCUCAUAAUGGAAAAUAGCCACAAUUAACCCUCAUAAUCGGGUCAAUUUUUCAAUGUCUAUAGGCACCCCAAGAUUAAUUUCUUGAAAUUAGAGUUCUGAUACCACUUUAUAGGACCCAAACACUUCGCUCCAAUGGCCUUUUUACCAAUUGGAAGAGAAGUAAGUUCCCAAGUGUCAUUCUUCUCUAUUGCAUGAAUUUCUUCCUCCAUUGCUUUCACCCACCGAUCAUCAUUGGCUGCUUCCUCAUACACAACUGGGUCACAAUCUGCAUACAAAGCAAAAUUAACAAUAUCUUCAUCAGAAGAAAUAUCAUCUGCUGUAAUAACAUAAUCCUGCAGACAAGCUGGCAUCUAUCGCUGAUGCUAGGGAUGUUCAGUUAACUCAGUUUGUGGACCCUGAGCAACUGUGAUGGCUGAAUAUCAUAAUUAUCCUCCUCUUACUGAUAAUUUAGAGUCACUUUUGCUAUUUCAAGAUCUCCAGUAAACCAAUCCCAAACACUUCUUUCGUCAAAAGUCACGUCUGUACUCACUAUCACCUUUUUUGUCACAGGAUUAUACAACCUAUAAGCCCGAGAGACUUCACUAUAACUAAUAAAUACACACUUCUCCCCCUUAUCAUCAAGUUUCUUUCUUAAUUGAUCAGGAAUAUGGGAAUAGGCAAUACACCCAAAAACUCUGAGAUGACCAACAAAUGGUCUUCUACCACUCCAAACUUUUUUAGGAGUUUUUUCGGGAAUACUUCUGGUAGGACACCUGUCUAACAGAUAAAAUGCACAAGAAAUUGCCUCUGCCCAAAAUGAUUUUGGCAUAUUUUUCACCUUCAAUAUAUACCUCACUAUAUCCAUAACUGUCAUAUUCUUCAUUUCUGCCACUCCAUUUUGUUGGGAGUGUAUCUGGUAGUCAACUAAUGUUGUAUCCCAUUUUUCUCAAGGAAGUCCACCAAAGAGUCCAAUAUAUAAGUCAGAAACUCAACUCUAACCCAAAACCUUAACUUAUUAGGUCUCGGAUCCUUACUUACAUAUUAAGUAUUCUUUCUCUGUCUCUCGGACUAAUGUGGGACAUAACUUUUACUCAUAAAUCUAACAAAUUUCCCCCUUUAUGAGUAUCGCCUCAUAUUAAACCCAAAUUUACAAAUCCUUUUUCGAACCCACUUUAAUACUUAACACAAGUCUACCUUAUCACGUAAGGUCACCUCUUUUCCCAAACAUGGACCCACUCUUUUUCAACAUCUAAACUGCAUUCUGGACCCUUGCCAACCUUAACUCCUUGAUCUAACACCAACCGGACCCCUUGCCAAACCCGUGGUGCAUCUGGUCCAACACUAGCCAAGCCCCUUGGCACUUCGGUCCAAUAUCAAGAAGAGAAUUUUUAUCGAUCCAACUCCGAGAAGAAUCCACUUGCGCAUGAGUAACCUAGUCUCACAAUUUAGAACUCUGAUACCAAUUUGAUAGGAGAAAACACUUCGAGAAAGCCUACCAAAGAGGCUAAUAUGUAAGCUAGGAACCCAACUCUGACCCAAAAUCUUAAACUAUUAGGUUUCGAGCCCUUACUCACAUAUUAAUUAAGUACUUUUUCUCUGUUUCAAUGAAGGUGCUUCAAUAACUCCACCUGCAUCUACUAACAAGUGAUCACAGUCUCCCAAAUAAUUUCACACAAGAUUUGGCUUUUACAGCAUUCUUCCAAUGCCUUACUCUUCCAGAUAUAGAGAAAGUGGUACACAUCCUAACCAUCUAAUUUCUCAUACAUUUUCUUAUCUCUCGCUGAAUUUCAGUUACAUAACAACCAUCUGACUGAAGGUUGGAGUGAAUUUGUUAGCGCAAUUAAUGCACAAGUGAAUGAUACGCUCUUCUUCUUCCCAACAUCAACGAUAAACUAUCAAGUGAUGAUAUUUGCUGAAAAUGGAACAGAGAAGUAUAACUUCAAAGACACGAUAAUGGUAUUGAAAUCAUACAAAUUCAAAGGUAGAUUCCUCUUCUGAUUUUCGACUCUCAUGAACUUCAAAUUACAAAUUUUCUACAGUUUAUCUUUGCACUUUAAAUUUAAACAUUAGUAUUCAAAACAUUUUAUGUAUGAUAUAUCAGCUUCUUAUAUUAGUUAACGGUAUUUGUUAGUGUCUUUGUAGCAUUUCCAAAGAUAUAAAUUGUCAAAAUCUAGCAACCAAUUACCAUUUGCACAAAUAAUAUCUAAAUAUUCAAGCUGAUGUUUUCACUAAUCAACCUAUUUAAUACUAAUUAUUUAAGUAAACAUUAAGUUUGAUGUUUUCAGACUUAAUACUAAAAAUAAUCUUGCAAAAGACAAAAGUAUUUACAGAUACUAGAAGUAAUAUAUAAUUAAGUACACACAAGUGUAUGAUACUACACAAAGGAAAAAUAUUUUUCAGAGUUAACAAAAAAAAAAAAAUCAUUAACAAAUAGUCAUACUUAACUCAUCUCUCAAUGAAGUAAGAUUAAAUUCAAACAAAAAUAAAUCUCGGUAUAAAUAAUAACUAUACAUUAUUGCAACAUUUACUUUUAAUUUUUUAUCGCAUUUUAUAAUUGUUUGAUUACUCGCUAUACAUUUUAUUGUUAAAAUUACAUUUGCAAAAACUAAAUAGUUACUAGAAAACUAAUAAGUUAAUUUUGUUAGAGAUGAAUAAAUAUGCAUAUAAGGUUAAAGGAAAAUAAAUUUCAUUUGCCGUACCUUUAAACUUAAAUACAGGUGUUCUAAUAAUUUUGACGAAAUGUAAUCAAUAAAUUGCUUAAUAUUACAUUUUAAAAUUUCAUGUCAAUUAAUAUUACAUUUUAAAGUUACAUGUCAAUUACAAUAUAAAAAAUAUAUGCUUUUUAAGUUUAAUCUUAAAGUUACAAGCUUAAAAAUAUUACAAUCUUAAUUUUUAUGUUACAAAGUUAACAAUGCUUGAUAAAUUUCACGAAAGGUAAUGAAUAAUUACUUAAUAUUAUGCUUUAAGUUACUUGUCAAUUACAACCUCAAAAAUAUAUAUUUUGAAGUUUGUUAAAGUUCAAACUAAAAAUAUUACAAUCUUAGUUUUUAAGUUAUGAACUUAAAAUUAAUAAAAUCUUAAAGUUAUAGUUUUAGUGAAUAAUCUUAAAAAAUACAUUAGUUUAGAUUGUACUGUAUCAAGAAUAUCCAAUUAUAAAGCAUGAAAAUAUAUUCACUCACAUUUUGUUGCAUCAAUUUUUUUUUGUUACUCUUCAUUCUUAUUAUACACAAAUGAACUACACAUAGACAAAAAGCCUAAAACAUGUUAUUUAUAUUGGAAAGCAAAAACUUCUCCAAAAAAAAAAAAAAAAAUCUCGGUCUUUCGACCAUUAUGACGCUCUCAUAAUUAUUCUUUUAUAGAAAGUUCUUUAACCUAGCAUUGCUCUAUUUAAUUGUCAAUGCAACAUCAACUUAAACUACAGACUUCUUUAACCUUCAAAGGUUUUACUACUAAAUUUGACAAUUAUAUUUUUAUAGUGGGUGGGCACAGCCGGCCUUUACCAGUAGACACAACAAUUUUUUGAUUUUAUGGGAAAUAAUCUUGUACAGAACUGCAUUGCAGUAGUCCCACUUUUAUAAGGAAACAAAAGCCAUCGUGGAGGAUUGCAUUGGCGAGUCAACACAAAAUGCACUUUUUUUUUUAAUCUAAUCGACAACUGUAUUACUCAGAAAUGAACUCACAGUGAAAAUCAUUUGUUCAUUUUUACGUGUUCAAGCUUCAAAAGUUUUAGAAAAUUAGCUUUAAUUUUCUAAAAUUGGCAAAUUCUUUUUGAACAAAACUUAGUACAUAGUAACAGAUAAAUGAUCGCGAAUUCAACUAUUUAGGGGCCAAUGUGGAGAUGAAAGGAAAUAUAGAGAGUAUAAGGAGUUCCAUAGUAUGAUUCAACAGAAAACUUGUACAACCUUAUGUGUAAUCUCCUUCACAAGGGGAUCCACACUUUGGCUUCCACCUCAGUUCAAUGUGGCUCCACCAAUGGACAUGAAGCAUUAUAAGAGUGAAAAUCAUGCUAUGGACCUGUGAAAUUGAAAAUUGUGAGCGCAUAUGGGAUUCAACUAUCAGUCUCAUGAUCCACUCUGACACGUUGCCCAUCAUAGAAUUCUGUCCCAUAAGAAAUAAUGAAUACAAAAUAUCGAACCAUAGAAGUGAUGGGUAAAGAUUUUAAGGCACUUUCUGGAUAGAACCUGUAUAAAAGAUUAGGCACAAAAAUGCGUAAAGUAUCCGUUCAGUAAGCAUAAUUUGCCCCAAAAAAAAUCAAAAUCAAAUUGCAUAAUAAACACAAAUUUUAAUUAUUUUUUAUUUUACAUAUAUUACAUCAUAAAAAAUACUAUUGUAUUAUUCUAAACAAUUUUUUUUUAAAAAAAAUAAUCUUCUAUCCAAACACACUAGUGUUUAUAAAAUCUUUAAGAUCGACAACAAGAACUCACGCAUUGCCACAAAAACAAACUAAGGCCAAAGCCGUGUGCUUAGCACUUGUUCCAAUGCAUGUGCGUACUAAAAUGUUGAAUCAUUUCUUUUAACUAAACAAAGACGAGUUCUUCCCACUUCUAAGAAGAUGCCAAACGUGGUUGUCUCAAGCAUGCACUUUCAAUAUGCGAACCAGCUAUGCUAUUUGAGAGUGGCAUCAUAUUUUCCACUUCCACAUUUUGACUUUGAAAUGAUCUGUCCUCUUAUAAUUCAUUUUCAAUUAUUUCAGUCUAUAAAUUUUUAAAUUUAUUAAUGCAACUUGAUCAACAGCGUCCACAAAGCUCAAUGCAUGGUCAAGUGCUAAUUUUUUUUUGAAAAUGAGUUGGUUCGACCUUUUGUUCAUCCAUCUUGGUAGGGUGACAAAAGUGUAUAAUCAUCGUUUAUCUUGUCUAAAUCAGUUAAUUUGUCUAACCAAUGCUCAAGCACAUUUUUGCCGUCUUGUCAAUGAAACUGUACAUAUGUGGAGGGAAAAAAGCUUCUUUAAUUAAUAAUUAACGACAAGUCAAAUUUAGAUUAAAACAAAUGUAAGAUCCAAGAACUGUCAAAUUGUGGGGAAUAUCAAGAUACGGUAGUUGCUAUUUCCUUAAAAAGCAUUUGUCUUAGAAGUGGUGAAGCUGCAAAAACAUGGAACCCUUUUGGUACGCGCUCCAUUUCCAUGGGAUCAGGCGGUUAGUGGAAGAGAGGGUUGUGCAUGCUUAAUUCUAUGGACAAAGCGAUUGGUAACUCGAUCAAUUCGACCUUUUUUAUAUUCUUUUAAAUUCAUUGACGUGGAUCAAUUUACUUUUCCAUUAUAAGAUACAUAGGAUCGAGCAAUUUUUAUCAGUUCAUUAUCGAUUAGUACUUGAAGCAGUGGUGGGGAAUACAUAUCUGACUUGUUGGAGCACAAGCUGGCCACUGGUUUUGUUGUUAAUAUGGUAAUUCAUGGUGAUUAAAGCUUCAAUUAUUGGCUAUAGUUGCACAUCAUCUCCAAAGUUUAUAAAAAAUCAAGCUAAUUCGAGUAUCAGAAGCCAUUAUCAUGUUCCUAAGAUAAACAUGUUAUUUUUCCAAAGCACAAGCAAAUGGAGAGGGUAUAUUUUCCACUUGGUUAGUGUAACUCUAGAAACAAGCAGAAUCAUGUCUGUUUAUUGGAUGAAAGAUCCACAUUUGCCAUUAGUGAUUGACUAAGAUUAGAAUAUUGGGACACGUUCUAGAAAAGUGUAUUUGACAUGCAAAGGGAUAAAGAGUUUUUUUUUUUUUUUUUAACUUCAACAUAAACUUUCCCACUAAAUCCUAAGAGUCAUAAAGAAAGUUCCAUGCACCACAAUCAAGACCUUUCCCCAUACAAAGUGAAGCAAUGUUGUGAAGGCACAUCAUCCACAAUGGAUUGACUUUUGUGUGCAGUUUUUAAUCUUUAAAUUUCUAUUUGACAAAUUGUAAUCCCUACUUAUACUUUUAAAUUUUUGAGAUACAGAAACUUGUGAAUGACUGAUGUAUCAAUAUAUUUUACGACAAUUAUUGUGUUAUUUGUGCACUUUAAUCUACAAAUAUGAAGCUUUAGUGCACAAUUUGGUAUAUUAUAUCAAUGUGCAUGGCCACUAAUGGGCAAAUUAGUAACAUGUCAACCUGAGAACAAGUGCCAUGCAAUUAACUAGGAUUAUCAUAUUGAUUUUAUUGAUUAGGUGGAAGAAACAGUAGAUCAACUGUUUUCCACUUUUUACCAUCGUCUGAGUUAUUUGUUCCAAUCAUUUGCACCUAUAAAUACAUCCCAUUUUGCAUAGUUAGAAAACAGUCACUUCCAAACAUAUUUCACAUCUUAUACAAAUUCUAUUUCCUUCUAUUGCUUGAACAUAUUAGUCUUUUAGGUCGAUGCUGUCGCUGCAAUCAACUUCAAAACCAGGUCAUAUGGCUACUCUAAAUUUGUUUCUUGUGAUAAUGCUAUUGAAUAUAUUAGUCAGUGGAUGGAGAAUUGGAGUAGAUGGCCUGAGCAUGGGCUACUACUUAAUGACUUGUCCAUUUGCCGAUGGAAUUGUGAGAAAUACUGUCAAUAGGGCUCUGCAAUCUGAUCCC
RNAcentral lists this long non-coding RNA (84702 nucleotides) under Coffea arabica (coffee). Its description in RNAcentral is "long non-coding RNA (CARA_LNC005406)". Lineage: Eukaryota; Viridiplantae; Streptophyta; Magnoliopsida; Gentianales; Rubiaceae. The record is from RNAcentral.